This 70813-nucleotide long non-coding RNA is filed under the name Aquilegia coerulea. Its description in RNAcentral is "long non-coding RNA (ACOE_LNC002081)". The record is from RNAcentral. Lineage: Eukaryota; Viridiplantae; Streptophyta; Magnoliopsida; Ranunculales; Ranunculaceae.
GAUUGUUUAAGUAUAAUUGAAGCAUGUAGCAUUUGAGAUUAUAAGAUGUUUGAAUGAGCUUUAUAUCACUUUUGAUAUUACUGAUUAAGUGCAUAUUUUUCUUUGGAAUGGAAAAUACUUGAUGAUUUUAUGUUUUGAAAGAUAAGUUUUUACUUUGUAAGCAUAAUGUUUUUAAAAGUAUUUGAGAUUUGUUGCUUUGAUCUUAAAGCAUUGAUUGUCAUGUUAUAUGAAAAAAUGUGUAUUUUUUUUAAAUAAACAAAUUAUAUUUGAAUUUGGAAGAUGGAUGCAUGAUAAAUGUUAUUCAUGUGAUCAUGUUUAUUGAUGAGAUAUAUGUAGCAUACAUAGGUUGAUUUGAUUGAAAAAUUCUUUGCAUAAGGAUUUUGGAAUAAAUAUAUUCUUAAGAUGAUUAAGCAUAAUGGUAUAAAUUGUUUAUGUUAUUGAUAGGAUGUUUGAAGAUGAUUACAUAUCUUAAUUCAAAGAUAUAUGUUAUAUUGCAUGCAGACUUAAUAAUAAAAAUAAAUUGGAUUUAUAUGAUAUGUUUAUUGCAUUCUUUAGAAUGACUUGAUUAAGUUGAAGCGAGACUAAAAUUUGAAAAGAAUAAAGUUUUGAUUGCAUGUUGUAAGAUUUGGCUAAGGUAGAGUAAAAUAUUCAUUUUACGUGUUAUUAUUACUGUUCAUGUCGGUUUCAGAGUUUUCUAUUAGGAACUUUCGAAAAGUUUCUUCUGAUGAAGUAUAGGCUUUAUCUCUACAAAGAUUUUGACAUAUUGUACAUGUCGUUUGGAUUAGCAGUUAUUAAGAUAUGAAUUUUUGAUUGAGUUCGGUUGGAUUUUAGUUAUUGCUUGUUUCCGAAAAAUCCGUCAGUCUUUUGGAAAAGAUUUCUUCUGGUAGGUUGUAGAUAUUAGUUAAUUAUGAGCAUUUGGAUAUACUACAUGUCUUGUUUGGAUCAGUCAGUAAAAAGAUAUAAUUUUUCUUGUAUAUAUUUAGUGUAAUUCGAGUAUUUCAGCUUUUCUGCUCGAAACUGUCCGAAAUUUUCAAAACUUUCUCUUAGAUUGUGUGGAUUUCUUUAAUAAGAUCGUUUGGACAUAUAAUUUGCUUUAUUUGGAAUUUUGGUUAGAGAGUUAUGGAUUUUUGAAUAUUAUGUCAUGUUUAAGAUAAAAUUGGUGAUAUGCAUGUUAAAGCAUCGUUGAGCUUGGAAUAAUAUAACAUCAUUCCAUUCGUGACAAUAACAAUAUAAAACUCCGAAUAGUGGUCUAGUUUAUUUAUUUAUAAUAAAUUUUGUCACAACAUAAUAUGAGUUUGAUUAUAUAAAAUAUUAAGUAGUUAUGGCAUAGAAUUGAAUAAAUGUUGGGUUAUAUAUUUGAUAAUAUAGUUUGCAUGAGUUAAUGAUUAUCUCCCUUGCUGUUUUAUUUCGGUUUUGAAUUGUAUUAUAUUUGCUUUAUGCAUAAGUAGAUAUUUUGAUAAUUGCGGAUAAUUGUUUAGAUAACAUGUUCCAUGUUUUGUGUAGAAGCAUGAGUAAAGUUUGAUUAGUUAGCUUAACUUGUUAAUAGCAAAUUGUAUUGUUAAUAAUUCAGUUCAAAUCAUGAUUUGAGAAUUUGAUUUAUUGAAAGAAAUAUGUUUCUGCAAUAUUUUGAAUAUUGAUGAUUUUCAUAGAAAUUUAAGUAUUGUAUUUCGGUAGUUGGAAUUUUUAGCGCCUACAAGCAAAUUGGAUAUUUUGAAAGUAUUUUAAUCGCAAGAAUGAUAUAAUUAACUGAAAGCUCUUAAUUUGUAAUUCAUUUUUGUAUACAUGAAUAACCAUGUUGGAGGAUUCUUUUCAAAUACAAAUUAUUGUAUGUUUUUAGUUCUGCUGAUGCACCUUAUACGCAUGUGAAUAUAAAUGUAUUAGUCUUUCUAUAGGAAUUUGUAGCGAAGAUUUUUCUUGGAUGGUAUACGAUAACACUAUGUACUAGUAUGAUGCAUUUUAACUGGAUAAGAAUUCGAACUUAGUUAGAAGAAUAAUUUUUUUUUUAUUAUGCCAAAAAGGUUUAUUAGUUUGGUAAUGUGUAUAGAAAUCUUAUAGUGUAUAUAUUUAUAUUGAGGUUUUGAACUUGAUACCUUAUUUGGGUUGUGCUAGUAUGUUUGCGAUACGUUUUGAAUCUUACUUUGGAAAGUUCAUUUAUCUGAGAAAAUAAAAUAAGAUAUAUCAUUUUUAUAAUCAAUUUAGAAUUAAAAAAAAAUAGAAAUUCAGAUAUGUAUUAUUAUUACAAUAAGGUUGUUUUGAUCGAUAUGGCUGAUGCAUGAGUAAAUGGUUUUGUGGUGUUCCUGGUUUGGAAGUGACAAAAUUGAAUAUUUAUGUUAUAUUGAAAAAUAUUAAUAAAUGCAUAUUUAGUGUGGUUUAUGGUAUCCUUUUGAAUAUUGAAUUAAUGAUGUAACUUGAUGUUACUUGCCUUUCUUUUGAUUCGAAGUGUUGUAAACUCUUUUACUUAGGGCCGGCUUUAAGAUUUGGAGGGUCAUUUGUAAUUGCACACAUUGCACUCCCCCGAGCUGACACUGCUUUUACUAGGAGCUAGUUGACUCUAGCAUGACUAUAUGAUAUAUUAGAGAUGUAUGUUGUUUAUCCAUGUUUAUUUUUUUUAUGAUUGAGGUUAUACGUUUUGAUAAUAACAUUUACAUUCUCUUACGGUUGGCAGAACUUGACCCCAUGAGUUGGGUAGAGAUUUCUAUUAUUUGUUAUCGGUUUAUCUAUUAAACGUUGAUGUAUUUUAGAUAAGAGUGAUGGAUCCUCUAGCAUUAUUGGAUACGUAACCUGUGUACUGGGAUGGUUUUGGAUAAGGUAGUGUCAUAUUAUGAUAUUUAAUUUUGUUUGGAUACUCUUAUGAGUUGUUGGCUAUGUGUGGCUAUUCGGUGUGUGCGGGUCUCGUACCCAAAGAAACACAAGAGAUGAUUGGAGUCAUGUAUUGACUAAGCUAAUGCUUGUGAUAAAGAUUAUAAGUUUGGACAUUGAAUGUUCUACCCAUAAGGUUGAUAGAGACUUGUCUCCUUUAUUUAGUCUUCUAAUAGACAUUUGUAUGAUAUAAUCAUUUGCCGCAUGUAUAUUACUAUUUACAUAUCAAAAUUGGCGAUGUGCGGUUGAAUGUAUCGAGACACAUUUCAUAUGGUACCCUGACAUUCUCCUGACACUUUGUUGUAUUGUUAGAUGCAUAUGUAUUAACAAUGUUUUAUAUCGAGCUAUUUAUUGUAUCUAAAUCAUAUGAUGAUUAUUUCUUUUUAUUCAAUAUAUUGUUUACCUAGCUUUAUUUUGAUGUUUGAUUUGAAUCUCGAGGACGAGCUUCCACUUUUUAAGGGGGUAGAAUGUAAUUGAGAAACUACAAAUAGUGCUAAUCUAACAAUUGAAUAUUCAACCAAAUCAAACAAUACGCAGAAAGUAAAUAACACACAGGAAUUUUUAACGUGGUAAAACCCAAUAUGGGAAACGUCCACGGUUGUCCUCGCGACAACAAAUAAAUCCACUAGAUGCAAAGAGAUGUACAAACCUAUCAACUACCUGCAAUCACUGCGAGUUGACACUACUGGUUAUCUCUAACACCUUGACUUCACCAGAGCACCUUGAUGUACGCACAAGACACUCGACUUCUUGAUGAACACACAAGAAGACUCGAAGCCGAACUAUGAAACAAGCUUACACCAGAGUUCCUUGAUGAACACACAAGGAUACUCGACUUCUUGAUGAACACACAAGAAGACUCGAAGCUAAAUCAAUAUAAACAAUAAUGAAGAAGAAGAUGAAUGGGGAAGAAAGAAGAUGAGUUCAAUCACCAAAACCACCUAAACCAAAACCUAAACAAACUCCAAGACUAGAGAUGAAUUGGACGGCCAAAGAACUUGAAACCGGCACGAAGUGGUUUGACAUCAAUUUUGUGACAAAGUGUCCUUGGUUAUCUCGCCUUGAAUUCAUUGUUAGGAAAAUCAAGAUGUACGCAUGGUCGUCUCGUGUCCUUGUGUCUCUUAGGUCUGUCCAGGAAAAGUUAUUGGUUUCUGGACGUACGUACCGGAUUAGGACGUACGUACGUCCACUGAAGCAGCAAACAUCUUUUGGUCAGGACGUACGUACGCAGUUAGGACGUUCGUACGUCCAAGUAGGCAGCAGACAUGUUUUCGUAUGGAGACGUACGUACCGAGUUAGAGCGUUCGUACGUCAUGUUAGGCAGCAGGCUUAUUUUUGUGUGGCGACGUUCGAACGUCAUAUCGACGUACGAACGUCCAAAGUCGGUUUGCACUGUUUCGGCCCAUUUUCCUUGGUUUCCAACCCUAAGUAUAAAAAGGGUUUCUCUUCCAAAGAACAAGUCAGUUCUUUGGCCGUCCAUUCUUCUUCUAGUUCAUGUGUUUUGGUUAGGUUUUUGAUAUUGAAAGUGUUUGUGGCUAUUGAACUCAAUUCCCUUUCUUCCCCCUUUUCUAAAUUCAUAUCCUUGUGAUCUUCAAGAGUUAUUGUGAAUUCGGCUUCGAGUCUUCUUGUGUGUUCAUCAAGAAGUCGAGUGUCUUGUGCGUACAUCAAGGUGCUCUGGUGAAGUCAAGGUGUUAGAGAUAACCAGGAGUAUCAACUCGCAGUGAGUGCAAGUAGUUGAUAGGUUUGUACAUCUCUUUUCAUCUAGUGGAUUAUUUUGUUGUCGCGAGGACAACCGUGCACUACAAGAAAAUCUGAAUUAUACCACGGACCUAUGAUUUCCUUAGCCACGGUUCGGGUCAGUGACAAAAUUAGCCACGGUUUGGGUCCGUGGCAAGUAUGGUAUAGUCCGUGGCGAAUGUUUGUUCCAAUUUUUUAAAUUUGGGAGAAUUUACUUACAGUUUCGAACUGUGGGGAAGUAUGUGAUUUAGAACCAUUGGAUUGUUAAUUUAUAUCACAAGACAUAAUCUACGAUUAAUAAUAAUAACAUUACCCAAACCCAAACCCAAACCUUUCUCGUUCCCACUCUUCUUUCUGAAAAAAAAAUUUCAGGUUUGUGCCAAAGAACCCUAAUUCUCUCCUUCAUACUCUUUUUUUCCUUAAAAAAAAUUCAAAUUCGCUGCGCCCACUCAUACUCUCGCUAAAGAAAUCUGAAACUAAAUAAUUUCUUUGAGAUCAAUCUGGACAUUCACCACAUUGAAGGUAAACUAGUUCUCCAAAUUUAGGUUCUCAUUUGAAACAUAUAUUGUUAUUCACCAACAGAUCAAUCUUUUUUGCAAUCUCUCUCUAUGAAUAGAGUUCUAAUUUUGGUUUUCAAAAGUUCUUUGCUAGGGUUUUGCUUAAUUGAGCGACUCUUCAAUGAUUCAAUUCUAAUUGGGUAAGGUAAUUUGUUUUUUCCUUUUAUGAUUUGGGAGCAUUUACUUAUUCUUUGUAAUUAUGUUAAAAAAAAAAAGGUAUAAUCUUUGUUAAAUUGGAUUCUCUGUGAUUCCUUGAAGGUUGAACACUAAUAACAAUUCAUUAAUAAACCAAACAGGAUGCCAGAUUAGAUAAGUGUUCAGGUUUAAUUGUAUAUAUUGAACCAUUCAUCUCUGGCUUUGUGAAGUAUGCCUUAAAUAAAUAUAUUUGGCUUUCAGCAUUUUAGCUUAGUAAGUGAAAAAUGCAGAAAUGCAAACUAGUUAGUGAACAAGCUAAUGUAAAAUUCUUUAUGUGGUCAUAUUAUUGGGAUGGUCUCCUAACCGUGGACAAGCUCCAACGAAGGGGAAUGGUGUUGUCUAAUAGAGUAAUAGGUGUUUGUCUUUGUAAGGAGGCAGAAGAGAGUAGUGAACAUCUCUUCAUGACCUGCAGGUUCACUAGGCAAAUUUGGGAGGAGUUGUUAGUGGUUAAGAGGGAAACACAGCACACACUGGACAGCUGGACUGCAUCCUCUGAACUGCUCACAAACUGGCGGGAAUUCAACAGUACAAAGAUUGCUCAGUUCCUAUGUGGAGUCUUGCCCGAUGGAGUGAUGUGGUUCAUCUGGAAAACAAGGAAUGGCGUGAUUUUUAGGGAAGGUGAAACAACAGUGGACAAAACAGUGCAGGCCGUCAAGGCGACAAUAUGGAGUUGGAUGAAUAUAAGUCCUAAAGUAAUGGAGAUGAGACAGAACAAGAGGUACACAGAUUUACUAUUUGGAUGAUAUGCCAGCCUUGUUUUCUUCCAUUGUUUCGCAUUUAUAACUCAUAAGUUGUAGUCAUAGAUAUGAUAAUACUUAUAAAAAAUUCUGGCGGUAAUCAGAUAUAUAUGCUGGUUGGUUAGUUUAGAAAAGCAUGGUCCCAGAGUUUUAUUCUAGUUUCGUACUCUUUUCUAAGCAAUUGUCUAACAAUAUACAAAUGUAAGCUGUUGCUUACCAGUUAACUCCUUAUGUAAUUUUUUUUAUGUAAUUUGUUAAUUAUAUCACCAAAAAAAUUAUAACUUUUUCUUUGUGAGGUAAAUUACACUUUUCAUUUGGCAUGGAAUCACUGUAAUAAUUUAGGUGGUUUUUAAUAGUGCUAUAAUUAGAUGAAUAUUUGUGUCCUCAUUUUUUGUGCUCAUUGCUAAGUUCUUAUUGCAGCUGGAAGCUAUCCAAUUCAUCACAUCCCACAAGUCCAUCGUAGCCGCAGCUAAGAUUUCUGAUCUUAUGGAUAUUGUCAUUAAAAGCGUAUCGGGUCUUGCAGUAUUAUCUCAGGUCCGUUUUUACUAACCUAGGUAGUUUGCUUGAAUUGAAGGAGUCUGUCAAUGAACAUGCACACAUGGUUAUAUAGUCCUUCAUAGUUUCUCACAAGCUUACUUCUUUCAUCAUGAUGCUUGCAUUCACCUGCUCUGUUCCAUUUUUUUUUUCUUUUGUCUAAUAUAUGUGUUUCAUUGCUCAGGAAUUACCUGUAUAAUGAAAAGCAUGCAACCUACACUAGAAUUGGUUGUGAGUACAACGUCUGAGGGAUCAACUGGCCCUGUGGGUGGCACUUCUAAAAAGUGAAAAUCACUUGCAGCAUACAAAAUUUUCUAAGGUUGUCCAUUGAGUUACAAUAUUAGAUGUAAUAGUGUUUUUUAAGCUGAAAAAUACUUAUUUGGUUAUUGGAUCUAAUUGUUAUCUCACCUUAUAUAAUAAGAAUUAUGAUUAUUUGUGUACUGUAGGUUUACUGCAUCAGCGUCUGUCUGUAGAAUGGCUGAGGCAGCACUUGCACAAGUCCUUGGACAGUAAUUACAUGCAUUGGGUUCAUAUCUGAAACAUUAUCUUGAUGCAGCAGAUGUUGUCAUCAAUAAAAUAUUUGAGCUUUUGACAUUGCUUCCAAUCACUCGUAAGGUAUUCUUUGAAUUUGUUUAUCUCCUUUUCUUCUUUUUUUCAAGCCUGCUUUAUGUGUGAUAGCAUGAUCAAAUUGAUUUGCCUGUGUUUGCAUUAGUGUUAGGACUUAAUCUUUUUCUAUCAGACAUCAGUUCAGUUGGCAAAACUGAUUUGCCCGUGUUUGCAUUAGUGUUAGCACUUAAUCUUUUUCCUUUGAUUGUUUCAGAAUUUUAGAAUUACGGAAGUUGUUCUAAAAAUACCAAUUUAAUUGUUCUUAACCAGGUUGCAGACCAUCUGGCCACAUGAAAGCACACAUGAAAUGCCCAAUAAUCUUUUGUGAUCCUCUUCAAGAGGAACUUUGGAACUUGUAAUGGUGUCUGAUGUGUAUGAUUUGUUAUAAGACUUGUUUCGAUAAAGAAAUCGUUGUAAUAUUGGUGUUCAGAUGGGUUGGAAGAAAAUAAUAAAUCUAAUAUUAAAUUAUGAUUUCAUAUUAUGCCAUGUGGAGGUGCAAACCAUAUGCAGGGCAUUAACUAAUUUCAGAUUAUGCAGGGCUUUAGCUAAUUUCAUAUUAUGCAGGCAAUUUUUUUUUUUCUGAAAAGAAUUCAGAUUUCCCAUGGCUGAGAAAUGUAGCUAAUUUAAUUUUUUUUUUUUUUUUUAAAUUCCAGAUUUGCCACGGUUUUGAACAGUAGCUAAUUUAAAAAUUAAAUUAAUUUUCAAUUUUUUUUUUAAAAAAAAAAAAUAGUUUGCCACGGUCUUGGACCGUGGGGACGAUGACAAAUUGCCACGGUUGAGAGCCGUGGCAAAUCCCACGGUUUCAAACUGUGGCUAAAUAAAACAUUUUGCUACGGACCCGGACCGUGGCAAAAGAAUUAGCUACGCCCUGAACACCCACGGUCUCGCCACGGUCGAAAACAGUGGCUAAUCCUGUUUUGCCACGGUUCCGGUCCGUGGCAAAUUUGAUGUAUUCUUGUAGUGGUGGACGUUUCCCUGUUUGGGUUUUACCACGUUAAAAAUCUCUGUGUGUUAUUUACUUUCUACGUAUUGUUUGAUUGCUUGUUUGAAUUCACAUUUGUUAUACUAGCACUAUUUGUAGUUUUACAGAACUAACUUGUUCUUUGGUAGAGAAACCUUAUUUAUACUUAGGGUUAGAACACACACAAAAUGGGCCGGAAUAGCUGAAAUCCACAUUGGACGUACGUACGUCGAAAUGACGUUCGUACGUCUCCUUACGAAACAAGCUUGCUGACUGCUUGGACGUACGAACGUCCUAACAAGGUACGUACGUCCUGACCAAAACAUGUUUGCUGCCUAACAUGACGUACGUACGCCCUAACUAGGUACGUACGUCCUAAACCCAAAACUCAUACUUUUGACACAAGACGCGAAGACAAGGACACAGGAUGACACACGUACAACAAGGUUUUCUUAACAAUGAACUCAAGGCGAAAUAACCAUGGACGACCAAUGUCACAAAAUUGAUGUCAAACAACUUAGAGCCGGUUUCAGUAAUACCCAAGAAUCUGCAGAUUCAGAUGGAGAAGAAGGUUCAGUUGGUUGAACCAAAUGGGCCGAACCGACCCAUUUCAUGUUUUGUUGACCCGUUUUCAUGGUAUAAAAACCAGAUCUGAUUUUCAGCACGAAUUUUCUUAUUAAAAAUCAAUUAAGAAACUUAAGAAGAAGAAGAAGAAAAACCUUCUAAAACCUAGGGUUUUGAUUGGGUAUUGCUUGCUUACAUUGUUUUGAUUACUUGGUGGUUUGGAAUUGGAUUUUCUUUCUUGUUUGUGUAUCUUGGUUAUGUUCAUCUUCAAAGGUAAGUUAUAUUACUUGAUGUUUUCUCUUACUUUCUAGAUUAGGUUGAAGUAACCCCUUGUUAGCAUGUUUAAUUCGUUUAUUAUAAUUGAAUUGCAUGAUAAAGUAUGAUUUAGUAAGUAUAACUAUGUAUUAAUGCUGAAAUUUAACUUUAAGAACAUAUUAAUAUAGAAAUUGGUGAUUUAAAACAUGCUUAAUGUUAAUUUAAUGUCUCAAAGCAUAAUGGAUGAUUAUAUUACUUAAUUUGUACUUUGUAUGAUGAAUAAAGCAUGAUUAUAUUGAAUUUAUUAAUGCUAAAAUUUAUAUUUUAAAAUAUGUUAUUAUUGGGCUUGAAGAUUUGACUUGGUAUUGUAGUGAUUGACUUGGUAUUGUAGAAUUUCCUGAACUUGACAUCAUACUUGUUUAUGUUGUUCGUCAUAUAUGGACAAUGAAUGGAAUAGAAUGGUUGGAUUGAACCAUGUGUUGGAUUAGAUUUGGGCGUGUUAAACAAAUUAACAUAAAACCCGUAUGAUGGGGAGACGUCCCGGAGUGUUGUCACAUGACAUAGCUCGAUGAGUGUAUGACUAUGAUGCGUACGACUCGGUGCUACUGCACAACUUUGUAUAUGAAUUUCAUGGAUUGCAAUUGAUGGAUUUGGAUGGACUUGAUGAUUUGGUUUGAGAUUGAAAUUGAUGGACUUUGAUUGAUUAGAUUGAUUUGGGCGUGUUAGUUAUACUAACACAGGACCCGUGGAUUUUGGGCGUGUUAAUUCUUGUAACAAAGGACCCGUUGGGAGACGUCCCUAAGUUAUGUCAAAUAACAUAACUUGAUGUGUGUAUGCCUGUGAUGCGUACGACUCGGUGCUACUGCACAACUUGGCACUUGAUGCAUGGAUUUGGAUUGACGUAAUAUGAUGGAUUGGAAUUACUGGAUAACGACUUGAUCUAAUAUUACAGACUGAUUGAUUGAUUGAAAUAGAUUUUGAUUAUUUGAUUAUUGGAACUGGAAACAUGAUUGACAUUGCGGAUUACCAGAGAAUGAUCUUGUUGAUUUAUUUAUCAUUGUGUUAAAUGUUAGAAUAAAUUGAUUAGUAUUUAUAAUUGUUUAUCUUAAGGAUGCGCAGAUUCCUUUUCUGGGAAUUAAGAUCGAACCUCAAGUUCUGUAACUUGCUGGCAUUUAACGUCUUCCCUUUUCCCUUUUCAGGAUACAAGUGUUUUAGAGAUGAAGUGUUCGAUAAGAUCUUGGUGGAGGUUGUCUUGAGUUGCUCAUAUGUCUAGUUGGAGUUUGAUGAGUUGUAACCUUCGGUAUGAAUCUGAUGUAUUUUUAUGUUUAUAUAGUUUGUAUUUUGUUUAGUCUUCCGCUGUUAGUUUAGUAUUUGUUGUUUAUUUUAUUAUGUUCUUCUGUGGUCUAGAGGUGUGAUGUCACGUAACAGUAGUGUGACCCUACGGUCCAUGGAGGACAUAUGGAGAUCAUUAUGACUCUGUUGCCCGGUUUUGGCCUGGCCAGCUAGGAUCGGAUUUCAGGGGCGUUACAGUUAGGGCUUGAAUUCUUGAUACAAGAACCAUACCCGAACCAUUUUGUAUUAGAUGGAUCUGACCGACCUGUCAGCCCCGGAUUUUAUAUUAGACCAAACAAACAUCUGAAUCUCUGUGUUUUGCAUACACACCACAUCCCAAUAAAGUACUAAUCAAGUAGAUGACUUUGGCUCCAUCAGCUUGCAGGGUUUUGUAAAGCAACGAAGAUAUUGCAACAUUCGGUAGCAGCAACUUUGAACUGCAAUACACAGCUUGGUUUUGUACUUAGGUACAAUGUGUCGUUGAAUUUUGUUUAGUUGAAAUGAUGAGUGAUGACCUGAUGGGGUUUAAACCUGCUCAUCAGGAUUGUAUAAUUGCUUAUGGUGAUUAAUGAAAUUUUAAUUUUGUCCAAAACAAAAGCCAAAUAUGAAAAUAGUGAAUCAUAGUACAGUAUUAGUCUUCCUGAGUUGUUAGAAUAAUUGGUUUUCUUUCCUGUUAUUAUGUAUAAACUCGUCCCAUGGGGCAUCUAAGAGAAUAUGACGACAUACCUUAGUAGAUUGAGUAGUGACUACCCCGAUUUUGAGCAAUUGUCUUUACUUGCUUUAAAGCUAGCUCAAUGGUAUAAAAAUGCUUGCCCAAUGGGAAAACCAUUCCCCUGGAUCAUGCAUUGUUGACAAGUCAUUUAAUCCGUGUAAUAUACGAUUAUUUUUUUAUACAUAUAUAUCUACACAGAGGGGUUCAGGUACCGUCUGUCCGCAUGCGGAUCGAGUGCAUUUAUUGGAAAAUUUAAAAAACAUUAAGGCCCUGUUUUUUUUAAUUGUAGGUCAAUUUUAUUUGUAACUUUCCAAAAUACCCUCGAUUGUUGCUUUAGACUUAACCCCCUAAAAAUAUGAGGGGUAUUUUAAGAAGAAAAAAAUAAAAAUAGACGUUAAAUUUGGCAGAAGUAGACGGAGAGGGGGUACAAACCAAACUUGAAUAAAUAGAGGAGUUUACUCAAAACGUGACCAUAAAAAGGGGGGGGGGGGUUAAGUCUAAAAAUCCCCACAAUAUGCGACCAAAGUUGUUUCGAAUCUUUAUACUAAAGAACUGAGAUAGUUGGAAAAUAAAACCUAAUUAAUUAAGUACCUCACCCAGAGGAGUCAAACUCUACCACCUCCAUUACUCAACAUUACUAGUUUGUCCAUGAGAAUUUCCGAUGCCACCCAUUCUAAUUUACAUCUUCAGAGAAAGAACUAGGUACAAAUUUGACAAAACUAGUGGCAGGUAUGUUCUCUGUCAGUGCAUCUGCAAGUUUGUCUUUACAUAUAAGAGAAUCCCAAACGAGGAGUUGUCUUUACAAUAAUAUCAAAUAACUAGGGUCUGUUUGAUUGGUCGAUGUAAUAAUUCCCGAUAUUUCCCUGGGAACUUUUGACACGACCAAUCAAACAGACCCCUAGUCUUUCAUACAGGUAAUCAUCUUAAACAACUUCCCUACGUAAUGAUAUACUCACUUCUUCCUAAUUAUCCUAUUGUACAGUAUUGGCUGAACCCAAACUGGAUAUAGUGGUUGACGACGUUCAUUAUUGAUCAUGUUUUCAGAGAAAAGUGGCUUGAGACUUGAGUCUUCUAAGUUGAAAAUUCCCGUAUCAUGUUUGCAAUUGACACCACCAAGGCUAUAUGCGAAGUAGAUGUGAUUGGAUUUGCAUUGGUGAAAAUCUGAUGCUAGUAGAGAUAAGGAAGUUUUGUCACCUAAGAACAAGGUAUGUCCUCUUAAGUUCCUCACUUCAAUCCACUUUGAUUCAAAUGCUCCACUUUGAUUCAAAUGCUUGGAAUUUGAAGAUUUGAAAUCCAACUGUGGAAUGAAAGUAGUUUUUAUCAAGAACAACUUCCCUUUCAACACAUACAAGGUCUCCUUGAAGAUUCCACAAGAUACCAAUUGUAACUACGAUAUGAUGAGGCCACUCUUGUUAACUUGGGUUUUCUUGAGCUAAUGUCACAUAACACAAAGUCAUGUAAACCAAGUGCAUACAGCUGAUCUUUAUAAAAUAUAAUGUUAUAGAAGGUGCUCCAACAUUUCUGAUUAUCAAUACAGGUCCAAGAUUUAUUAAUUACCUGUCUUGAAGAAGGCCAAUUUACGUUCCAAACCAUAAAUUGCCAUGCACUACAUAAUUGGACGUCCAUGUCGGGUUAUCCGAUAAGACAGUCUUCUCAAUUCUAUUAUCUAGUGAAGGGAGUUUGAUCACUUUGUUGACAGAUAAAAAAGGAUUCCAGAGUUGAAUACUAACUACACCGGCACAAUAGUACCCAUUUGUCAAUAACCAUCCGUGGCUUGAACUUUUGCAGCAGGGAAUGUAUCCUGAAAACCCAAUAUGUGCAAUAUGAUACUAAAACAAACAAGAAUAAAACAAUAAAGAAGUAAAGAACACACGAUAUUUUUAACGUGGUAAAACCCAAUAUGGGAAACGUCCACGGUUGUUCUCGCGACAACAAAUAAAUCCACUAGAUGAAAAGAGAUGUACAAACCUGAGAAACUACAAAUAGUGCAAAUCUAAUAAUUGAAUAUUCAAACAAAUCAAACGAUACGCAGAAAGUAAAUAACACACAGGAAUUUUUAACGUGGUAAAACCCAAUAUGGGAAACGUCCACGGUUGUCCUCUCGACAACAAAUAAAUCCACUAGAUGAAAAGAGAUGUACAAACCUAUCAACUACCUGCAAUCACUGCGAGUUGACACUCCUGGUUAUCUCUAACACCUUGACUUCACCAGAGCACCUUGAUGUACGCACAAGACACUCGACUUCUUGAUGAACACACAAGAAGACUAGAAGUCGAACUAUGAAACAAGCUUACACCAGAGUUCCUUGAUGAACACACAAGGAUACUCGACUUCUUGAUGAACACACAAGAAGACUCGAAGCUAAAUCAAUAUAAACAAUAAUGAAGAAGAAGAUGAAUGGGGAAGAAGAAGAUGAGUUCAAUCACCAAAACCACCUAAACCAAAAACCUAAACAAACUCCAAGAAACAAGAGGUGAAUUGGACAGCCAAAGAACUGACUUGUUCUUUGGAAGAGAAACCCUAUUUAUACUUAUGGUUGGAAACCAAGGAAAAUGGGCCGAAAUAGUGAAAACCCACUUUGGACGUACGUACGUCGAUAUGACGUUCGUACGUCUCCAAACAAAAAUAAGCCUGCUGUCUACUUGGACGUACGAACGUCCUGUAAAGGUACGUACGUCCAGAACACAAACUUCUCUGCUGCCUAACCAUACGUACGAACGUCCUUAAGAGGUACGUACGUCCUGAAACAAACAUCAUACUUGAGACACACGACGCGAAGACAAGGACACGGGGCGACGCACGUACAACACGGUUUUCUUAACAAUGAACUCAAGGCGAAAUAACCAAAGACACUUUGUCACAAAAUUGAUGUCAAACCACUUCAUGCCGGUUUCAAUCUCCCCCUUUGACAUUGAUUUUGUGACAAAAACCUAUGACUCUAAUAGACUUAUAAAACGUGCUUACAAACCCAAACCAUGGCAUUUAUAAAACAUGCCUACAAAAUCACUCAAGGUAAAACACAUACCGAGUCACCAAUUCUUGAUAUCUAGCUUGAGUAAGACGCUUUAACCAUCAGAGACCGAACGGAAGCAACUAAGAAUUUUCGAAGCAAUCAAGGAGCCAACAGAAGUUCCUCGAACAACUCCCCCAUACUUCAUGAACUCCAAGGUUUAAUACUCGAGGUUACCCAAAACUGUACAUACACUUAGUGAUCAUCAUCACGUUCAAUCCAUCAUAUAUGUUCACUCCCCCAUACAUGUAGUAUACCUGAAACAUGACCCAAAACUGUACAACCUCUAAACAUCAACACGUUCACUCCCCCAUACGUGUAGCAUACCUGAAACAUAACCCAAAAAUACACUAACAAGGAAGAAGAAGGUGUUAGUAUUAGAGUCAUAAAUCUCCCCCUUUUUGUCACAUAUGAAGCAAGGUAACAAAAGAAAGAGAAAAGAUAAAUACCAAACCAUAACAAAUAAGAUUAAAGAAGAAAAAGUAAGAGAACAAUCAUGUUAACAACAAAAAGGAUAUGCAACGGAAGUCAUAAAAUAAACACUUGUUAACACGAUGUCAAUACAAAGAAUUCUCCCCCUAAACAAAAGCGUCACCUAAAUGCAAUGCAUAUGAGAAAGAUGCACCUAGAACAAACAAACCAAAUAAGGAUAUUUGAAACACACAAAGAACCAAUCAUACAAGGGUAGAAGAGAGUAAAGAGAAAACCAUACCAUAAAUCUGGAAUCCAUGACACACAAAACUAAAAAACAUGAGAGAGAUCUAGGCAUAUAAAUGAAGAAGAAAGAGUACCAACACAGACACAAGACACUGAAUACUUAUAUAGGUAACAGAGGGAAGAAAAGAAAACAUAACAUGAAUCCCUGAUAGAAACCAAGAGAAUCCUAUACAUAGAAGAAAGAGUCAGGACACCAACAAUCGGAACAAAUGAUUCACUAGAAUAUCACUUUAAACAACCGACCAUAACCACCUGAGAUAGAGUCCAGAGAGACGACUUCAUAGUAGCAAGAUAUCUAGAGAAAAAGAGCAAACAAACAAAAAGGAAGAAAUACCAUACCUGAUGAAAUGGGGAAGGUACAAUAUAGACCAAGAACCAAAUAGUCAAACCUGGGAGAAAUGUGCAAGAAAAGAAUAUGCGAAAAGAGAAAGAAGAAGAGAUAAACAAUAGUUAGUAGGAGAUAUGAAAGAUAAUAGGGAAACCAUGCAUAUUAGACACAUCCAACAAUAUCCCAUGACAAAACUACAGGAAUAUGAGUAUCUGCAGAAAAAGAUACGUAAAGUAUAAGAAAAUCCAUUGAGAAUCCAUGGGGAAAUCCAAUCUGUACAUGUUCCUGAAACAAAUCAUCCAACCACAAAAAAGAAUUAGAGAAUCUUAUAAACAAGGAUAAGAUAAUAUUAUCCCAAACACAAUGGAAUAGAGACAUAAAAGGAAUAAACCUGUAAGCCCACCCCUAGUGAAACCCAAAAAUUAGUUCAACAUAUGCCAAACAAGAUAGACAAUCAUCAAGCUCAAAAAAAACUUUAACUGAAGAAUGAGCAAGGAUUAUCGAUGUCACCAAGUCACAAAGCAACAAUCCAACUUCAGAGUAAAUUUCCUGCCAGAACAGUAAGACUCCGAUGACAUGCCAUACAUUGUCAGAAAGAUUAGAGAGUCAAUAGAAGAGAAUUGCUAACAAUAGAUGACCAAACUGAGCAUAUGCAUCCCAAAGUAGAACAGUGGUAGCCCAAAACCAUUGCAUGAGGAUUAUUGCAGAAGACUACCAAGAACACAUCUAAUCAAACCUAUUGCAGGAAAAAAUAGGAUCAACCAGGCACAAGAAGCAACAAUAAGAGGAUAGGCAAGUCUCAUAAGCAUUUAAUCAAACACCAGCUAGCCAACAAGGUAAUUCAAGAAUAUUAGCCCAACAUAGAAAAGUAUGAUGAGAACCUAUGAGAAAACAUGAAUCAAUAUAAAUCAUGACAACCGAAUACACCAAUAACAUGAUUUCAUCACCAAAAUAUGCUUAUGCAUACCUUGUAGCCUUCUUAAAACAAAUUGAGAACUAUUACCUUGAGAAAUCACAUCAAACACAUGUGAUCCAAUGACAAAAAUAGAAAGCAUGAAGUGUAAAACCAAAUAAUACUAACAAUCUGACCUUAGUAUGUCAAUGAAACACCGACUGAAAAGAAUUACCAAGGAAUAGAACCAAAAUAGAGUAAGCCAUAAACACUUUCAGCAAGAACAUCUGCCUGUAAAGUUACUGAGAGAAAAAUAAAGUUGACGACACGCACAUUGUCCAUGAACAAGAAUCCGAAGAAAUGGCGCCUCUACUCCUUUGAGCACGAGGAGGACGUGUGCCCGAUGACGAAACACCCUUGGAACUGGGUGUUUCUUUGGUGGGAGUAGUCCGAGCUCGCUGAGGAGGCAUGUCCUGCACACACACAACAUUAUAAACACCACACAAGUAAGUAAAACCAACAAGACAACCAAGAAAAACCUUAGGAAACUCCAUUCAGGCAUUUCACCAAACACUUGGUGAGCAAUACAGAACAUAUAGGUAAAAACACUACAUGAGCAUACCAAAAUGAUACUAAACAUGUCCAAGAAACUCCACAACCAUUAAUAAUCACAAGAAGUUCCAAAAUUAUCUAGACAACAAGUAUAUAUCCAAUGGUAUGAACCCAACAUGAUCAUGGUAAACAAACUCUUAAUCCAAAGCAUAACAGACAAAUAAUAAUGCAGCAUCAAGAUAAAAUGAAAAAAACCUUGCUGCCUGAACAUGCGUACGAACGUAAUAACACCGUUCGUACGUUCCUCCAAAAAAAAUCUGCCUCCACAAACAUUCGAACGUGCUAAUAACGUUCGUACUCCCCCCCCUUUUUUUUUUUUUUUUUUAACAAUAGAGAACUAACCUUAAUAACAGAAAAACAAACCGAAUAACUAACAACACAAACCAUAAUAAGAAGAUAAAAGGAAAAGAACCGAUGUACCAUAAAAGUGAAGAGGAAUACAUCAAGAACUUCCAAAACAGUAGCCAAUCCCAAUUCGUACAAAAAUAAGAGGCAAUAUAUGGGAAUAAACAAAAGAUUGAACAAAUAAGAGAAUUGAAGUGCAUCAUAAACUAAACCUCGGUGUGUGUAGAUGCAAUGCAAUGCAUAAAGAGAGAGAAAGUUCACCACUAGAACACACCCUUUGAAGACCUAGAAUAUAGAACCAUCAACAAGAGACAUACGAUUAGAUUAGUAAGUGAGCAUAUAUAGAAGAAACAAACUUCAACCCCCUUUGAAACAAACGUUAUGAGUAGAAGGCAAACGAAUAUAAAUAUGAUAUUUCAAGUGAAAACCAAGACAUUAAAAAGGCAAAGGAAUAUAAACUUUGUAUGCCUUACAUAAAAAAAAAAACAAUGAAUAUGCGCUUGGAUUUUUAUUUUGCCGCAUGUGGUGGAGUUUAGUCUACAUCACUCUAAUGUCAUUCCCGCGUGGGAGGGAUUUUUGCCUCCAUCUUUUCAAAUACACGAGGGUAGGGUGUAGCCUACAUCUUUUUGACAAACACAAACUCAAGAAGUGCAAUACCAUGAUAACGUGCAACACAAGAACUAAGAUCUCUUGAGUGCAUCCGUCAGAGCAUGACCCUCACAACCCCAACGGGUUCUUAGCCAACUGAUAGCUUUAAAGACAAUCAAAUGGCUGGGGAUAAAGUGAGUCAUUGACCACUAACAAGAGUUGUAAGAGGAAGAUAAGAAUACUUAAUAACACAAACAACAAGAUGAACACUAACCAAAACAAAGGAGAGAUAGCUCAAGAUAACAUAAAUACUCGAGAGAUAGAGAAGUUCUAUGAGUUCAAAGAAUAUGUAAGUGGUUUCCAAAAAACUCCCAUUAUGCAAGCAUGUCGUGCACAGUGCAAACAAGCGAGGAAAAAUGCAUGAUACAUACCAAAACAUACUUAAGAGUUCAAAAAGAGAAAACACCCAAACAUAUUGCAACUUAUUUAAGACAAUCGAAUUAAACCAAUGUCUCAGAAAAGAUGUAACCAACAACACAUACAUGGAAUAAAUAAAGAAAAAUAGAAGGAAUAACCAACAAUGUAUUCAGACAUGCAACAUGAUCUGCAAGCUAAACAAACAAAGCAUAAAAAGUAGAAACACCAAACAAAUAGCCUAUGUGGUUAGAGAAAUAUGCAAUUCAAAUAACACAAGGCUAGAAACAACCUACAUCAUCCCAAAUAUGAGACACCACCAGACUUUUGCAAGUCCAGAAAAACCUGCAACUUAUCUUUUCUUACCCAUACUUGUUUAACACUAGGCGUGCACACCUUGGGAGUUGAAAAGAUAUGAGAUCUUCCCUUAACAAGCUUUUCAAUAGACUUGUCCUUAACUAAUUUCACCUUAGUCUUUGACUUCCUUUUGUCGGAGUGCCUGUUUUUCUUAAACCUAUGAGAAGAAGCAUUAAAAGUCCGAGGUCUAGAAAAUGCACAAGAAGAAACAUAAGAAUCAACAUGAUUAUAACGAUGAGGAACACGAGAAUAGGAUGCAACAUGUUGAUUAAAAUCCCAACAAAAGAUAUUCAAAUGACCAAUUCUACCACAAUAAGAACAAUGAAAAACAUCAGAAUGUCUCAAAGAGGUUUUAUAAGAAGAUAAGGCAGUAGUGGGUGAAACAUGUAAGUCACCAUUGUGUUUGUGACAUUGUCCCUUAACAAAACCUGUACCUCCAGUAUGAGAACAAGACGUCUUACCAGCAAAAACAACCUUACCAUUAGCCUUAGACUUAAACUUUAUGCGAGAAACAAGUUGAAAAGUAUUAGUAUUAAGUCUAGUCUCAAUAGGUGGGGUAGGCAAAAGGGCAGGCAAACUAGUAGAUUUUACAGGAGUAAUCACACUAGAUGAACUAGUAGAACUAUCAAUAGGAGAAUCAAAUCUAGUUUUGUCCAAAACCUGCAAUUGGAGUUGAGUAGACGUUAAAUCGUUCUUUGUUACCUCAUACUCCACCAAUAGAGAUUUGUAUUUCUCAUCGACCUCCUGAUUGGCCUUCUCUAAAGCUGCAAUUCUACAUAACAAGUCAAGUUUUUCUUUGUCAAAUAAUUGAGAAAUAGAAAUUGUAUCAUCUGCAGCACAAGAAAUCUGUUUUUCAAGAAUCUCAAUUUUAUCCUACAAAGAAAGAUUAGCCUUUUCCAAAUUUUCAAUUUUGGAUUCAUAGACUUCCCCUUGAAGCAUAUAGUCCUCUGCACAAUGUCUGAGUCGUUGUUCUAGAGAAUCAACCUUAGUCUGCAAAACACCAUUAUCUUCAAAACAAACAUUAUCAGAAAUAGUAGACACAUUACAAUUAGCUUUAUUAAAUUUUUCCUGCAAAUCAAUAUUAGCUUUUUGUAAUCUUUCACAUUCUUUUGCAGAAAGUCUGUAAAGAAGAGCCCAAUCACUAUUGCUAACAACAUACAAAUUAUCAUCCUUUUCAAAAUCAGAUUUUGGUUUUGUAGAUUUAGACGAUUUAACAAUAAAAUUAUUAUGACCAAACUCAUGAACCAUCAUUGCACUCAUAGGAUCGUUAGCGUGAGCCUUGGCGCUCCUUAACCAGCCCCCAGCGACUGAUACCAAUUGAGAAACUACAAAUAGUGCAAAUCUAAUAAUUGAAUAUUCAAACAAAUCAAACGAUAUGCAGAAAGUAAAUAACACACAGAAAUUUUUAACGUGGUAAAACCCAAUAUGGGAAACGUCCACGGUUGUCCUCUCGACAACAAAUAAAUCCACUAGAUGAAAAGAGAUGUACAAACCUAUCAACUACCUGCAAUCACUGUGAGUUGACACUCCUGGUUAUCUCUAACACCUUGACUUCACCAGAGCACCUUGAUGUACGCACAAGACACUCGACUUCUUGAUGAACACACAAGAAGACUAGAAGUCGAACUAUGAAACAAGCUUACACCAGAGUUCCUUGAUGAACACACAAGGAUACUCGACUUCUUGAUGAACACACAAGAAGACUCGAAGCUAAAUCAAUAUAAACAAUAAUGAAGAAGAAGAUGAAUGGGGAAGAAGAAGAUGAGUUCAAUCACCAAAACCACCUAAACCAAAAACCUAAACAAACUCCAAGAAACAAGAGGUGAAUUGGACAGCCAAAGAACUGACUUGUUCUUUGGAAGAGAAACCCUAUUUAUACUUAGGGUUGGAAACCAAGGAAAAUGGGCCGAAAUAGUGAAAACCCACUUUGGACGUACGUACGUCGAUAUGACGUUCGUACGUCUCCAAACAAAAAUAAGCCUGCUGUCUACUUGGACGUACGAACGUCCUGUAAAGGUACGUACGUCCAGAACACAAACUUCUCUGUUGCCUAACCAUACGUACGAACGUCCUUAAGAGGUACGUACGUCCUGAAACAAACAUCAUACUGGAGACAUACGACGCGAAGACAAGGACACGGGACGACGCACGUACAACACUGUUUUCUUAACAAUGAACUCAAGGCGAAAUAACCAAGGACACUUUAUCACAAAAUUGAUGUCAAACCACUUCAUGCCGGUUUCAAAACCUAUCAACUACUUGCAAUCACUGCGAGUUGACACUACUGGUUAUCUCUAACACCUUGACUUCACCAGAGUACCUUGAUGUACGCACAAGACACUCGACUUCUUGAUGAAGACACAAGAAGACUCGAAGCCGAUCUGUGAAGCAAGCUUACACCAGAGUUCCUUGAUGAACACACAAGGAUACUCGACUUCUUGAUGAACACACAAGAAGACUCGAAGUUAAUCUCAAUAUUCAAUAAGGAAUAAGAAGAUGAAUGGGGAAGAAGAGAAUGAGUUCAAUCACCUAAACAAACCUAAACAAACUCAAGAAGAAGACUUCCAUUAGACGGCCAAAGAACUACUUUGUUCUAUGGUUGAAAAAACUAUUUAUACUUAGGGUUUGGGAAAGAGAGAAAAUGGGCCGAAACAAGAAAAUCUGACGACGACGUACGUACAUCCUAACUAGGUACGUAUGUCCCUGAAUGAAAAAGUCUGUUGACCAACUCGACGUACGUACGCCCUAACUAGGUACGACGUACGUCCCUAAAAGAAGAAACUCUGCUGACCAACUUAUGGUACGUACGUCCUAACUAGGUACGUACGUCCUAACCUUAACAAGAGAUCUGUCCAACUCAAGGUACGUACGUCCUAACUAGGUACGUACGUCCUAUUUCAAACAGCAACCUGACAGUCAUGAUAAAAGAAGGGAUACUCGGGACGACGCUCAUACAUCAAGGUAUUCCUAACAAUGAGAUCAAGGCGAGAUAACCAGGGACACACUAAGUCACAAAAUAAUGUCAAACAACCGAAUGCCGGUUUCAAUCUCCCGCUUUGACAUUUAUUUUGUGACAAAAACCUAUGACUCUAAGAGCACUUAUAAUAUGUGCUUACAAACCCAAACCAACGAUAUUUAUAAUACAUGCCUACAAGAACACUCACACUCAAUACUAACCAAUGAGACGAUCAUCAUCCUGAAAAUCACGUCCUAAGACACCAACACAAGCUUCAAGAUAAUAUGCAAUGAAUCACCAUCAUAUGAUAAUCAACGGGAACAUCAAGCUUUUGACAAUCAGAGACGAGGCGGAAGCAAUGCAAUCCAUAAAUCAAUCAGAGACUCAACGGAAGCUUUUAGGAACUACUCCCCCAUACUUCAUGAAAUUCAAACAUGAAUACUUGUGCUCCCCCACAAGUGUAGCAUACCUGAAACAUGACCCAAGAUACACUAAGAAAGAAGAAGAAGGUGUUAGUAUUAGAGUCAUACAUCUCCCCAUUUUUGUCACAAAUGAAGUAAGUGGACAAAGGAAAGAAAAAAGAAAAAACAAACCAUAACAAAUAAGAGAAAAGAAGAAAAGAAAAAGAACAAUCAUGUUAACAACAAAAAGGAUAUUCAACAGAAGCCAUAAAAUAAACGCUUGUUAACACGAUGUCAAUACAAAGAAUUAUCCCCAAGCUCCACCUAAAUGCAAUGCAUAUGAGAAAGAUGCACCUAAAACAAACAAACCAAAUAAGAAUAUUUGAAACACACAAAGAACCAUGCAUACAAGGGUAGAAGAAAGUAUAUGCAAGCUCAAUUAAAACAAGAUACUUAGUAAAGAUGAAUAAACUUGGUUCAUUAAACAAAGUACGCACCAAUCAAAAAUUAAGAUAAGAAACCAAACAUCUACCAGAAAAGCAUCAUACAAACAUCCUUGGUGUGUGGGAAAGCUAAAGAAAACAUAAAGAGAGUCAUUUCACACUUCACUCACAAACCAUAAGAACACUCAAAACAACUAGUAUUCACCACUAUAAGGAUUUCACUUCACAAACGCCUAAACAGACACAGGAAAAUGCACUUACAACCAUUCAUUUUUUUUUUUUUUUUUUUUUGUGCAUAAAUUAACAUGUGAAAGAGAUUUUUACAUUCAUCUUUUGCAACAUGUGGUAGGGUGUAGCCUACAUCUUUUAAAAUUACUUCCCCUUGAAAAACAAACUUAAAGUAGUGCAACAUCAUGGUAACGUGCAACACAAGAACUAACAUCUCUUGAGUGCAUCCGUCAUUGCAUGACCCUCACGGCCCCAACUGUAUAUAUACCAAAUGAUUUCUCUCUCAAGAAGAUCAAAAGGCUGGGGAUUUUGUGAAUUGUUGACCACUACCACACCGCCUUCAUACUAAUAAUCAAGAUAACAUAAGAAGGCAUGCAUACGUAUAUUUCCAACUAAUGAUUAUUCUAGAAGUUCAUCAUGUUCAAAAGAUGGAAAAAGAUAUGUAAACAAACACUCAAAGUGCCACCUAGCCGUGCAAAGUGAAAUCAAGCAAGGAUAUAUGCAUGAGACACAACUAGAUAAACAUUGGUCUAGAAUCUAAACAUGAGAGCACAAGCGUAUGCUAAGUUUAAUAAAAUAGUUAUAUUCAUGAGCACUAAGCAUACACGUAUGAUUGAAAGCAAUAGACCAAUCUAACCAUAUAUACAACGUAUGUGUAUUCCAAACACCCAUAACAAGGUAAACCACAAAACAUUUUUUUUUUGUUUACAUAACUUUUUUUUUUUUUCUUUUUUUUUUUUGGUGAGUAGGAUGAUAUUGAACCCAAAACAAACAAAACAUGCAUAAACAGAAAGACAAAAACACCAAACAAAUAGCCUAUGUGAUUAGCAAAAUAUGCAAUUAAAAUAACACAAGGCUAGAAACAAACUACAUCAUCCCAAAUAUGGGACACCACCAGACUUUUGCAAGUAUAGAAAAACCUUCAACUUAUCUUUUCUUACCCAUACUUGAGAGAUAUUCUGCAAGUUGGAUCCAGGUAUGGAGGAUUGAUGAAUAUUAUCCCCGAUAGUAGACUUUCCAACCCUUAACCGCUCAUUCUCUAGACUACAUUUGGCAACAUCGAUGCUUCUAUCCCAUAUGUGAGGUGGUUUGGUAAUCUUUUGCACAAACUUCUUUUUGUUGUUAAAGCGUUGUGGUAUCUUAGGACCACUUCUGGGCCUAAAAGGAGUCCAAGAGGAAGGAUGAGCCUGCACAGGAAAAUAACCAUAUGAGUUUCAACAAUUAUUACCAAAAGAAAAAGAAUAAGGAACCAUGGAAUUUUUAUCCCAACAGAAAGCUGAAAUAUGACCUAACCGACCACAAGUAAAACACUUAAAAUGUCUAUGUUUAGGAUUUGUCUUGUUCUUGGUCAUCACAUUUGGCUUAGAUACAAAAGCCUUGGUAGGUGGAAGCGGAGUAGGCAUAUGAGAAUUUGGUAACAAAGGAGGCAAGGAUGGCCUUACAAAAGAAGUAGUACUAGGGACACAACUGGAGGAAGCUCCAACAUAGUCAUAUCCUAAACCUUUGACGAAAACUUUCCACUUUUAAUAAGGGUGUCUUGAUUAACUGAAGCUUUCUCAAACCCUUGCAAUCGCUUAGUAGAAGCAAAUAAAUCUUUUUUCACAGCUUCAUGCUCAAACAACAAAGUACGAUACUUAUCUUCUAUCUCACGAUUGGAUAUUUCUAAAGAAAUAAUUCUAGAUUGGAAAUCUAGCUUUUCUUGUGAAAACUCCUCAGAUAAGGCAUUCAUAUCACCUGCAAGUAUAAAUUUCUCUUCUACAAGAGACUCAACCAUAUCAUUCAAAAUUUGAUUAGUCUUAUGCAAGAAUUGACAUUGUUUAACAGGUGACAUAUGUAAUUCCCUUAACUCACCGGGACUUACCAAAACAGAAUCAUCGAAUUCAUGAUCGACAAUAUCGGUUACCUGACAAUCCACAUUCUCAUUCAAAGAAGCCCCAUAGGCAACACAAUGUGUAACAUGGUCUUUCGUUACAUCAUCAUCAUCCUCGCUUUCAUCUUCCUCCCAAGUGGUAGAUAACUUGAUUUUUUGUUGUUCUAUCCCUUCAGCAUCAAGUUUCGUGGGAAGCUUACACUUGUCAAAACCAUGGUUAGUCAAACCAUUAUAUUUCAUAGUCUUAAAAAUAUGUUUAAGAUAACGAUAAAUAAUACUCAGAUGUUGCUUAGUGUCAAGAGACACAUCAUGAUUAAUUUUUUCAUCUUGCACAUCCUCAAAAGAUCCUGCUUUAAAAGCAAAGGAUUUAUUUUGAGGUUGCUCAAGAUGAACCUCAAGUUCAUAAGUUCACAGUUUUCCUGCUAAGGUCUCUAUGGACAUGGUCUUUUAGUCAUUGCUCUCUUAAAUGACAUCUUUCCUCGAACGAAAUCUAGAUGGCAAAGACUGAAGAACUUUACGCACUAUUUGAGUAUCGGUGUACACUAAACCUAAAGAUGCACUAUUGUUGAUAACAUCCUGCAAACGAAUAAAGAAUUCAUCAAAAGAUUCAUUAUUGUCCAUUUUCAUAGUUUCAAAUUGACUAAUAAGAAGUUCAAGUUUACUCUCUUUGACAGUAGUGUCACCCUCAUGAGUUCUUACCAGCCUAUCCCAAGCCUCUUUGGAUGUUAUACAACCAUGAACUCUCCGAAAUUCACUAGCAUCCAAAGCCAUAAAUAUAGCAUUAAGCCCUCUUUGAUUGUUAGUAGAAGAAACUAUGUCUUUCGGACUCCAUGUGUUUCGUGGCUUUGCAAUUGUAACAGCCUCAUCUGUACUACCUGUAAUAACUGUCGGUGGUGACCAACCAUCUUCCACAGUGAUCCACACAUCCUCGCUGAUAGCCUGCAAAUACGCAGCCAUACGAACUUUCCAAUAGGGAAAAUUAGUUCCAUUAAAUUUAGGAGGACAAAUUAGUGUUCCAAAUUUAUCAGAAUCCAUUAAAAUUGCACUAAGGAUCUACGCGUGAGCCUUUACGCUCUUUAACAAGCGCCCUGCGACUGAUACCAAUUGAAAACCCAAUAUGUGCAAUAUGAUACUAAAACAAACAAGAAUAAAACAAUAAAGAAGUAAAGAACACACGAUAUUUUUAACGUGGUAAAACCCAAUAUGGGAAACGUCCACGGUUGUUCUCGCGACAACAAAUAAAUCCACUAGAUGAAAAGAGAUGUACAAACCUAUCAACUACCUGCAAUCACUGCGAGUUGAAACUACUGGUUAUCUCGAACACCUUGACUUCAUCAGAGUACCUUGAUGUACGCACAAGACACUCGACUUCUUGAUGAACACACAAGAAGACUCGAAGCCGAUCUGUGAAGCAAGCUUACACCAGAGUUCCUUGAUGAACACACAAGGAUACUCGACUUCUUAAUGAACACACAAGAAGACUCGAAGCUAAUCUCAAUAUUCAAUAAGUUAAAAGAAGAUGAAUGGGGAAGAAGAGAAUGAGUUCAAUCACCUAAACAAACCUAAACAAACUCAAGAAGAAGACUUCCAUUAGACGGCCAAAGAACUACUUUGUUCUAUGGUUGAAAAACCUAUUUAUACUUAGGGUUUGGGAAAGAGAGAAAAAGGGCCGAAACAAGGAAAUCUGACGAUGACGUACGUACAUCCUAACUAGAUACGUAUGUCCCUGAAUGAAAAAGUCUACUGACCAACUCGACGUACGUACGCCCUAACUAGGUACGACGUACGUCCCUAAAAGAAGAAACUCUGCUGACCAACUUAUGGUACGUACGUCCUAACCUUAACAAGAGAUCUGUCCAACUCAAGGUACGUACGUCCUAACUAGGUACGUAUGUCCUGUACCAAACAACAACCUGACAGUCAUGAUAAAAGAAGGGAUACUCGGGACGACGCUCAUACAUCAAGGUAUUCCUAAUAAUGAGAUCAAGGUGAGAUAACCACAGACACACUAAGUCACAAAAUAAUGUCAAACAACCGAAUGCCAGUUUCAUAUCCUUCUGAUGUCACAGGUAAAAUAGGCACAUGCAAGUCAUCUCUAAUGGAGAAGAAAGUAUGUGUGUACUCCAAGCUAGGAAAUUUGAAGUAAAGAGAAUAGUUUGGAGGCAUGAGGAAAGGAACUUGAUAACGGCUCAGCCAAACAGGACUUUGCCAUGAAGUGCAGACAACACAAAACCGAACGUAAUAUAUCUUUGGGAUCAACAAGUUUCUCACAUAUAAUUUGCAGAACAUCUGUAGGGAGAUCCGACCAACACCAACUUGAACGUAUUCUUUUUCUUUUUCUUGUGUGAAGUACUACCCUAUAAGCUUUUAUCAAAUUAGGGAAAUAGAAUUUCCAUUUACAUUUUUCAGAGUUUUGAUUAGAAUAAGUUUUUGAUUGUGGACAGCUUCAAGCUUGCUAGAUGCCUAAAAAAGGAAAAAAUUUAAAACAGGGAAAAAAAAAAGAGAAAAAAAGAAAAAAAAAAGCUUGCUAGAUGAAGAAUCCUUGGUCAUGUUCAGUGUUGGUAGCUGAACCAAAAUGGGAUUAGAUAGUUGUUCAUUGAUAUUUUCAGAGAAAAGUGGUUGAAGACUUGCGUCUGCUUCUAAAUUUACCACUCCCAUAUUAAGCUUGCAAGAUGAAGAAUCUGUGGUUUUGUUCAGAGUUGGCUGAACCCAAAUGGGAUAAAUUAACUGUUCAUUGAUGUUUUCAGAGAAAAGUGGUUUGAGACUUGCAUCUUCUAAGUUGAACACUCCUGCAUCAUGCUUGCCAUAUGCGAAGUAGAUGUGAUUCGAUUUGCAUUGGUAAAAAUCUGAUGACAGUACAGAUAAGGAAGUACCAUCGCCUAAGAACAAGUUACAACUUCUUAAGGUGUACAACUCAAUCCACUUUGAUUCUUCAUUAUUCGUUAGUAAUUUAAAGAUUCGAAAUCCAACUGUGGCAUGAGAAGCAACUCCCCUUGCAACGCAUAACAGGUCUCCUGAAGAUUCCACAAGCUGAUAAUGGGAUGAGGACCAAUUUUUAGUAUUGCCCCUAUCCGGUAAUGAGGUCACUAUUGUUAACUUGGGUAUCCUUGAAUUAAUGUCACAAGACAUCAAUUCAUAGUAACCAACUACAUAAAACUUGUCUUUAUAGAACAUAAUGUCGUCGAUAAAAUCAUUGCAAUUAAUACUGGUCCAAGAUUUAUCACCUGUCUUGAGGAAGGCCAAUGUAGGUUUACAAUCCAAGUAGUAAACUAUCAUGACUACAAAAGCUAAUGUCCGUCUUGGGUUAUCGGAUAUAGUAGCUUUCCAAAUAAAAUUUCCCCUUGGAGAGGGGAGUUUGAUCACAUUGUCAACUGAUAAAAAGGGAUUCCAGAGUUGAAUACUACAAACACCGACCCUGCUGUGGUUACGGUCUAUAAAUAACCAUCCAUGGCUCGAACCAUAGCAGCUAAUGUAUCGUUCUGAUGUCACAGGCGAAAUAGCUACGUGCAAGUCUUCGUCUCUAAUGGAGAGCAAAGUAUGUGUGUAUGGUUCAGGGUAGUUGUACUUGUUUGGAAGCAUUAACUAACAAAGGUGUCUGAUAACGACUUAACCAAGCAACACUUCGCCAUGUUGUGCAGACAGCACCAAACUGGCCGGAAUCUUUGGCGUCAACAAGUUUCUCACAUAUAAUUCGCAGAACAUCUUUAUGAAGAUCCGACCAAUUACUACUCCCUUGGGAAGUCAUCGUCAUGGCCAGGUUUUUGGGUUGCUUAGGCGUGUACGUGUGGAUUUUACUAAAAAGCAAGCUAAGUAAGGCGGCUUAAAAGAUUUCAAUUAGAAGUUGAUUUCAAUUAGAAAUCAAAUUUGGUAAUACACAACACGUGUUUUCUAAAAGGAGUUGAAUUAGUUUGUAAUAUGGAAAUUGAAUCCAUUGGUAGCCGGGUAACACAUAGAGAACAUGGGAAAAUUGAAUUAAGAAUUGAAAGUUGAUUAAUGUUCACAUGUUCACUAACCUUCUCUGGCUCCUCAUCAAAUUGUUUUUUUUUCUUUUAAUGACAUGUUUCGCUCUUAACCGAAAAUAUAGGGUUCAACCCCCCAUAGGAGAUGCAAGUUUUGUAGCUUCAGCCUUGGCUUCCUCAAUUCCAGUGUCUCUAUACUUCUGCAAAAAAGAAAUCAGCCCUUUCAGCUGAACAAUAGCAACAUCAAUAUCCAUAUCUUCUGAUUGCAAGCUUUUGCUAACAGUGUUGAUAGCAAAUAAAAAAAUCAUGCCAAAUAAUCAUACCAAACAAGAACUCAAAAUUCUCAAAAUCAUUUACCGCAAGAGAUUCUGCUUCACUCCGUGUUUUGGGAUCGUCACUAUUUUCCGCCAAGUGAAUCAAAGCCUUUUUUUAUUUGUGGAGCUUAAAAUCUUACUGCUUUGACACUUUCAAUAUGACUUUCCCAUCGAGUUUGUGACAAUGGUUUUAAUGUGAGACUUUUCACAAACUCUUCCAAUACACUUCAUCGCUUUGUCGAAGAGGCAAACAAACAAUAAAUGAGUGGUGCAAAAAAGACUACCACUUGAUAAAAAUCUAUCAAUAAUGAUAAUAGACUCACUUUUAAAUCUAUUAGUCCCUUGGUGUAGUCGUAAUUUUGUCACUCACCAUACCAAAUAUUAAACUCAUCACCAGCUGACUUGACACGUUAGGAUUCUCAUCAUCUUUACAAGCAUUGCCACAAGUAUGUUUUUCCCCUAUCUCCUUCAACCACAUACGUCCACCAUUUAUACUAAAGGACUUUGCAUAGAUCAUCCACUUGCAUUUAUCUUUUUCAUCAACACAUUUAUCUUCUUCCAUAGUCUGUUUACAAACAACUUUCACUCUAGUUGACGAAUUCUUCAAAACCCCAUAUUUGAGCCCAAUUUCAAUAGAAAACUGUCGAAGUUUAUUUCGGACCUCAACAGCUCCUCCUUCAAAUACCUGGCCAACACCAGUAAAGUAAAGACAAACUCACAAUCCCUAGCCUUUAAAGCUAGCAAAAAAAUUUCAUCAUCAUAAUCAAUGCAAGAAGAACUACUACUUGGUCCUACAUCACAAUGAACAAUGUCAAUAGAUAUCUUCUUCAAACAAACUAAAAAUUCAACAAAUCUUUGUCCAUUCUUAUUGCAAAACCACACCAAAGAUUGAAGCUCAGCAUCACCAAAAAUUUCAUGAUGUUUACCAUAACGAUUGUAGGUGAGAACAAACACUAAAAGAGACAAAUCCUUAAAUUUUUAGCAAAUAACAUCAUUUAAACUAGCCAAUGUACUAUCACACGUGAGCUCAUAGGAGAAAAAGAAUUUGUUAUACUUGAUUACCCCUAGAACACCACCAUUAGCAACCUCAGUUGAAACAACACCAUCACAUAAUUGCACAUCUGUAUAAAAAAACACCAUGUACAGUUGAUCAAUACAUCAAUCAACACAUUAAUAAAUAAUAUAACAUUUAUUUUUUAUUAGUACAUUAAUCAACACAUUAACAUAGUACUCAGAUAGUUGAUUUAACCUAUUAAUCAACCCAAAUACUCAAAGCAGCAAAGUAUUUUGAUCGCGUCCUUCGGACAACCCUUCAGGGUAUCGUAGUUUCUGAUGGUCCGGGUUUUGGUGACCUUCAGUGGUGCAUAACAACCAUGCCGUUACGCCUUGGUGGAUUGUGCAUUUAUUCUGCCACAGAUGUCAGUAAGUUUGCCUUCGUAGCCUCUCGAUGCCAAACUCAAGAGCUCCAGGAUCACAUGCUCCGAGGGUGUGGUACUGCACACAUGGAUAGUGCUUUUGAUAGUGCAGUUGCUGAGCUACAACUUUUUCCCCCUGAUUUCGACCUUAGUAUUCUAGCCUCAAGGGCUACCGCCCCUCUAAACCCCAACACACACUGGCGGAAGCUUACUACAGGAAGAUUGCAACUGGUAUUGACAGGGAUUUUGAUUUGUAUGCUCGUCAAAGGGCUGUUAUGGAAUGCUUACAGACCAAACAUGCCAAGGACUUCCUUAUUGCUAUUCCUAUAGAAGGGCUAGGAUAACGCAUGAUAGCAGUGGAGUAUCGUGCCAUUUUCCGGUAUCGUCUAACGAUCUCGUUAUUUACAGAUGAGGACUUAUGUCCUGUAUGUAAGAAGAGUCGACUGGACGCUUUUGGGGACCAUGCUGUACAUUGUAAGUAUUACCCCAGUUAUAAAUACAGACAUGAUCAUGUGCGUGAUAUACGGUAUGAUGUGGUAUGGCGGCAAGAAUACAGGUAAAGAAAGAGGCUCCGGUUAAUUUUCUUAUAGACCCGUCAGAAGGCAGAUCAACACUACGUCCAGCUGAUGUUUUGAUAUAUAGUUGGUUAGAAGGGAAAGAUGCAUGUGUUGACAUCACAGGAGCAUCUCCAAUGGUGGGGUUUGGCAUUGAAAAUUUUGAAGUGGGUCAAGCAGCCAUUAAUGUAGCUGCAGCUAAGGUACAGAAACACGAUGGAACAUGUGCAACGAAGCAGCAUUGUUUCAUUCUUUUUGUCUUUGACACUAUUGGGUUUCUAGCACCAGAAGCAGUUGAACUUCUCAAGAGGGUACAGAAGGUGAUGAAUAGCAAUGUGAUACAGCGGGUUCUAAUGAAUAUGUAUUUCGUAGGAUUGGUUUUGCUAUUCAAAAAGGGCUUGCAGCGCAGUUUGUAGCGCGCUUCUCCUCUAGCUCCUCUAGCUUUGUGUAAUUCUUCAAUAAAAAUUUGUUCUUCGAUUUCAAAAAAAAAAAAAAAAAAAAAAAAAAAAAAUUGCCUUCAACCUUGUUGAUCGGUCUGCUAUGCUACGGGAGGUACGCAGUCAUUGUCCAUCUAUUGCUCUAUGGGUCGAAUACCUCUAUUGCCAACCUGCUCGAUUGUAUCUAGGGUCUACUCAUAUCUGGUCAGCAGCUGGGAUACAACAGGGGGACCCUUUGGGGCCGCUUCUCUUUGCUUUGGUCUUGCACCCAUUGAUACACCGCAUUCAGUCAGAAUGCCACUUGGAGUUGCAGGCAUGGUACUUAGAUGAUGGUACUCUGAUUGGUAGUACAGAACAUGUGGCUAGAGCUAUUCGUAUCAUUCAGAAAAGAGGACCAACUCUUGGGCUCGUGCUUAAUGUGUCUAAGACAGAGUUGUUCUGGCCUUCUGUUGAUCCUGUAUGUUUCUAUCCAGAUAUCUUUUCGGUUGGUAUAUCAUGUCCUCGGUGAGGGGUUAAGUUGUUUGGAGGGGCUGUAAGUAUUGAUGCAUCAUUUAUUGUGGGUAAUGUUCGUCAACGAGUGGAUAAGACACUUCAGCUUAUGGAUUUAUUACCACAGUUAAAGAAUCCGCAAUGUGAGCUGACACUUUUAUGUUCUUGUAUGGGAAUAUCUAAACUCACCUUUGCUCUCCGUACUUGCCCCCCUGAUUAUGUUCAGGAAAUAGCCGAAUGGUUUGACCACAAGCUUCGUGCAACCCUUCAGAAUAUUGUGGUUUUUUAUAGACCUGGUUUUGGUGAUCUAUAGUGGCGUAUCGCAACCCUCCCAUUGCGUAUGGGUGGACUUGGUAUUUAUUGUACUAGUGAUGUUAUGAAGUUUGCUUUCGUAGCUUCACGUACGCAAACCAAGGAUCUCCAAGACCACCUUCUUCGAGGUUGUGCGGCUGCACCUAUGGGUAAUGUUUUCGAUACUGCCAUUAAUUGCUAAUUUACAUCUUUCUAUACCUGAUUUUGAUCUCAGUAAUCUUGCUCCAACUGCUACUGUCCCCUUCAGACCCCAACAUGUCUUGGGGGAAGCAUACUACAAGAAGAUUAGUUCUGGUCUUGAGAGGGAAUUUGAGUUGUCAGCUAGACAAAAGGCCGUGAUUGGAUGUGUGCAGUCAGAACAUGCCAAAGAUUUUCUCCUUGUUAUCCCGAUGGAAGGACUUGGACAACGCAUGACGCCUGUAGAAUAUCGUGCCAUUCUUCGUUAUCGAUUGAUGAUCCCUCUUUAUUCAGAUGGUGAACUUUAUCCAGUGUGCAAGAAGAGCAGACUUGAUGCUUUUAGGGACCAUGCGGCCCAUUGUAAGCAUUACCCCGACUUCAAGUACAGGCAUGACCACGUUAGAGAUAUCUUGUGUGAUGUGUUCUGGCGGGCUGGAGUACAGGUUAAGAAGGAGGCUCCAGUUAACUUUCAUACUGAUCCUAAGGAAGGAAGAUCGACAUUACGUCCUGCUGAUAUUUUGGUCUACAACUGGUCUGAAGGUAAACAGGCGUGUGUUGAUGUUAUAAGGGCGUCUCCGAUGGUUGGGCUGGGUGCUGGGAUUUUUGAGGUGGGGCUAGCAGCUACCAAUGCAACAGCAACAACAAAAGUGGAGAAACAUGACGGAGCUUGUAGGGCUAACCAACAUAGUUUCAUCCCCUUUGUAUUCGACACAUUUGGAUUGCUAGGCUCAGAAGCAGUUGAGCUCCUCAGGAGAGUGCAGAAGGUAAUGGAUAGAAACGUGAUGACUGCGGGUUCAAACGAAUAUGUAUUUAGGAGAAUCGGGUUUGCUAUCCAGAAAAGACUUGCCGCGCAGUUUGUCCUAUACUUUUGUGUAAUUCGUUUAGCUUAUCAAUAAAAUUUGUUUCAAAAAAAAAAAAAAAAAAAACCUAUAAAAACUAUUGAAUGACGGCUCGUUCAACAUCAAAAAAUCAAACACAAAAACAAGAAUAAACAACAAAAAAUACAAAUUGCCAAAAUUAUUAAACAAAACAGGAAUUAAUAACUCAACAAACUAACAUGUAUAAUCGUUAAUCAUCAUCAUCUCCAAAUCGAGUUGAGAAAUCAAUCAGCCAAAUCAGUUGAUAAUGAAAAUUGAUUUCAAAUCGAAUUGCAAAAUCAAAACACAAAUUCAAACUUCACGAUCUUCCAUUAAAAGCUCCAAUUACAAAACUGCAAAUACAAAUGAAUCGGUGUGGAAAACUGAGCUCUCGCAAUAACUUGGACUGAGAAGAUCUUAUCAAAUUGAAUUGUUAAAUCAAAACCCUAAAAUGAAAGAAUAACGAAAUCAAACAAAAUCUGAACUCUCACGAAAACCAAACAAAAUUGAACUCUCGCGAUAGAUUGAGAAGAUCUUGUGAAAUUGAAUUCAAAAAUCAAAAUCACAACAUGAAAUCUUCCUCCAGAAUUUUCUCUUCUCCAAACUCUCUGCAAAUGAAACAAAACCGCAAUACAAAUUCUCAAAACACGAUCUAUAUAUAUCGUUGGUAGGAGGGUAGUUCAGGUAUUAUAAAAAAAUAAUGCAAUGAUACGCGACUUUGUCCUGGAAACAAUAUUUUAUUCCGUAUAAUUGGACUUCUCUUAAACCUAAACACCAACCCGUGUGAUACAAUAUUGUAAUGAUAGGAAUGAUACGCGACUUUGUCCUGGAAACAAUAUUUCAUUCCGUAUGAUACAUCUAGUUUUGUGUCUCUUGAGUUAGAAGUUGCAUGUGUUGAUCAAGUAGAAGAUUUGAUUGAAAAAUCUGCAAGGGGGAUAAAUAAGAAGUUCUAUUUGUUGCCCAAACAAGGAAAUCUGGUUGUUGUCCAUGACAAUGGUAAAGAGGAUGAACGUUCUAGGAAUUUCGCUCAUCACUCCCAUGAAUCGAUGAAUUCCAUUGAUUCCGACCGACAAAUUGAUGAUUUUUAUCAUCCCCACAAAUUUCGUCCCAUAAAAGUAAUUGGUAAUUUGUUGGGUAGUUAUGUUGAUCUUUAUCUAUUCCAAGAUGAGAAUGAAUUUUCUCCAUGGAGGGACAAACACCUUCAAUUCUUAUUUCUUGACAUGCGGCUAUAUUGUUCCAAUCAAUUGGGUUGUCCUAAUGAUGCACCUAUGACAUUAAUUUUCAUCAUUCUUUCUGCGAGCAACUAUCUGGGGAAGAUUCAUGGCCGGAUUUUCUGCACCAACGUAAGGUUGAGGUUGAUGUACAAGAGUUGUUUUAAAACUCGUUUUCAAGUUGGGGGGAUUUGAUGCAUAUGCACAUGCCUCAUAGUUCCUGCAGAAUCCUAUAUGGAUUAGAACAUCCCUAGUAGUAGUUUCUAUUUACUUAGUUUUCUAGUGUAGUUAGGAUUACGUUUAGGUUAUUAUAAAUAGGGGAUUGCAAACCCUAUUAAGUAGGUUAGAUUGAAGAUUUGUUUAUGUCCUGAGACAUUAAAUUCGUUUUUGUGAAGAACCCUAUUUUUUGGGUGUUCAAACCAUUUAUUUAAUUGGUGUUCUUAUUAUUGUUUGCUUCCGCCGAUAAUAUUACAUCACCAUUCCUUGAAAAACUACAACGAAAAAAACAUUUUAUACAAAAAGUUGUUUGAUAAUAAGAAAUGUGAGGACAUAAGGCAUUCAUUAAUUGUUCCCACCAAACAACAGUUUAUAGUUUUAUACUCACCACAUUAAUAGUUUAAUGUGUUCUUUGCUACCACGAGCAGAGGCGGCAGUUCGCAGAGGCGGCAGUUCGCAGAGCACAUGCGACAGUUCACAGAGCAGCUGUCUUUGCUCUCAAAAAGUCUGAAUUUCCGAUAUCACCCAUUCUGANNNNNNNNNNNNNNNNNNNNNNNNNNNNNNNNNNNNNNNNNNNNNNNNNNNNNNNNNNNNNNNNNNNNNNNNNNNNNNNNNNNNNNNNNNNNNNNNNNNNUUGAUAUUGCUGACCAAAUGUUUGGUUCCCCAUGUAGCUUAGUUCUUCCUUUGAUACAUUCAACUGCCUCCUUUGAGUCCGAUCCCACUUGGAUUUUCUUCCAACCCAUGGAAGUACAUAGUUUGAUGCCCAUCUGUAUGGCUUGAAGUUCAGUAUACCCAGCCGUCUUUCCCUUUGAGCUGCCUCCAUAUAAGUCAUCAGAACUUCGCCUCUAUAAUCCCUUAGAAUUCCAGCAUAACUGCUAGCUUCCUCCCUCAUGCUUCCAUCAGAGUCGAUAAGCACAUACCCCUGUUCAGGGGGUUCCCAAGCAACGUAUCUGAUUUGUCUUGUAACCAGUUCCACCUGUGCAUUAAUUUUUCCCAUAGCAGCUCUAUUGCCAAUAGUAUCUGCAGUCUUCAGUUUCAGACCCUCAAAUCGCAUCUUGACUUCCUCUUUAAUAACCUGGAUGACCAUAGCUUCAGUACUAAACUUCUGUGAGUACAGUCUGUUAUUCCUUUCUCUCCAUAACUCAUAGACAGUGGCACAAAAAGUUAUUCUAGCUAUGUCUUCACACAAAGAGCCCCCUUUCAGUGUUGAAGUAGCCCAAGAGCAUUCAGCAACUGCAUCCAAAGGAUUUCUAUUGUGCUCACACCAAGACAUAACCUCUUUCCACACCAGCUUAGAGAAUUUUCAUUCAAACCAUAAGUGCCAGUGGUUUUCCUGGGCUUUAUAGUGACUUGAGUUCUGCCCAACUACUCCAGAGUUCAUCACUUGUGAGUAAUGGUCCCUGUUACAGAUAGGAGGAAGACUUGAGCUAGUCCACUGAACCUUGUAAUAGUUUAUAAGUCCAUAGCUAGUUCCUGUAGCAAGGAGGGAAUCUCUAGCCAAGUUGUCUGCGCAGAGAGCACAAAUAGAUUUCUGAGUGAUACCCCAUUUAACAAGCUUGUCUUGAGUAGCCAGUCUUUCUCUAGCAGCUAGCCAAGUGAUGAAUGAAUGUGUUGGAAUCAUGACUUUAGUCCAUAUUACCUUUGCCCACUUCACCUUGGUGAAUCUUUUCGUAAAUGCUACAUAGGCUGUUUUGAUAGUGAACUUACCAUUUGGGCUUGGUGUACAUACCACUGACACUUUGGUUACCUCUCUAAUAUUGGUCAGAUAUUUGGUAGAGUUUGGGACGAGCUCAUGUAAAAUUUCACUGUCUGUCCAUGGAGAGUACCAAAAGUUUGUGUUCUCACCAUUAGCUAUCUCAUGCCUAUUAAAAGGUUUACAUCUUUCUCUCAAGGUGAGAAUUCCCCUCAACUCCAUGAACAAUCAGCACGCAUUUCCAUAGUCCAAUCUAUAGUUAGUAUUGGAAUUAAAACAACUCAGAAAUCUGCAAGAGAAGAAGAUUGUUCUCUUGCUGCACACAGAACAAAGAAACUAUAGACAAGACAAAACACUUAAGAACUUAAACUCUUACUUACUUACUUUGUGCAUUGCACAUACAUCUUUAUAACUACUAAUACACUUCAAACUAGGCAAAUACAUUUACUCUAACUUAUAACAAUCAACUACCACCAAGCAUUACUAAUUAGUGCUAAUUGUGGACUCUAGAACCAUCUCCUAAGUACAAGUAAAGUCUAACUUAUGUUUCCAACAGUUAGCAAAUUCAAAAACUUGAAUUUGAAGCUUAAACUAGGCAUGUGUCCUUGUUUUGAGAUGUUUAAUCAUACAAAGAUGUUGUCCCUACGACACUACUCGCAGUUAUAUAUUGCCCAUUCAAAAGCGUAUUUAGUGUUGAUUCUUCUCGGGGUUGCAUGAUUUGGUUGCAGAUGUAUUGAACUUUCUAAAGGCAGAUCAUUAAAAGUAAUAUAAGUAGAGUCAACCAGAAGACAUGUUUGAACAAUGUCUGUUGUAGUCAGCUCAUUCAGUAUCUUUUCUCAUUGCUCUCUCCAACAACUUCAGGACAUAGUUUUUCUGAUUUACGCUAAAUCAACAACCCUUUUAGUUUUGACAACCAACAACCAAAAGAUGAAAAUUAUGAUGAACUACUAAGCUGAUAGUAGAUAGAUCACUUUCAAUAAGAUUUUUAUCGCUAAAUAAUCAAUCAUCUUUUUCAAAGAAUGUAAUACUAAUGGUUGGAAUGCCAGAAUUUGCAGAACUCAACGAGUCUGAGGACGGUGGAGACUCUUGGCUUCAUGGAGAUACAGAGGACGAGCCAUAAGCCAAUAGAACCAGUUAAUGGUGAUGUCAAGACUCGAACCCAUCAAACUCAUCCUUAGCUCCAAUCCUCUACCCGAUGUGAUAUCGAGAAAAAAGAAGGAAGAAAAUGCAUUAAUAAACUUAUUAUCAAAAGAAAACAUUCAGACCUACUAAAGCACAUAACAAUAAAACUCAAUCUAAAUCUAUAAAUCCUUACAAAGAAAAUGGCAAACAGAGAUGAUGACAGAUGAGAAGUUUAUUACUUCAUUAAGCCUUUCUGACCAAACAGUCCAGAUUGAACACUAUUUGAACACAAUCUGAAUGAUUGAUUCCAAAUCUGAACAUCAAUCAUACUUUGAUUCACUUCAAGAAUGCGCACCACAUUGAACACUAUUUUCUCCACAUAUACCACUGGACUCUGUCCCCAUAGUCAUCCUUUCCAUUUUGUACACAAACUCCAGCUCCUAUAGGCUAUAACAUUAUCAUAAUGCUGCUUUAUGUGAUCGUCAUCCUGGAGACCAUCUUCUCAAAAUGAAACCUUCCAUGGCUCCUUAGCACAGCCUUUUGUUUUCGUUGACACCAACAUCCCUUCAAAAAUGAAUUAUCGAGUUAGCAACUUGAAAUUGAAAGAUUAUUUAUCAACGUGAAGUAAAAUGGAUCAACCAAACAAAAAAAGAGUUUUACAAGUCGCAUGUACUUUUCAACAAAACUUUGUGCGUAAAUAUUUGUAAUUAUUUUGAGCAUGUAAAUUAGAGAGUCCCAUCACCUUUGUUUUCUCUUUCCCUUAAUAAUUUCCAACACCAACCAUUCACACAUAUGUUGAAAACAUAUUUGGAAUUCAUGCCAGAAAACAGGUAACACAAAGAAUUUUCACAAGAACUACAAAUCUUACAGUUAUGUCAAGGUAUAUCUGUUGAUAUUCUGAAGGUUAAUUAGGUUACAGUUAUGUUUUCAGUAACCAUGCAUCAUUGGCUUUGUCUCUCUUAUAAAUUCUAAAAUAAUAAAAAAUAUUGACAAGCAACCCUAUCCUAGAUUUGCAACGGUGCUACCAAGUAACAACUACCCAACUAUCGAAAUAAUGAUUUAAUGGUUGAGCAAGUUCAACGGGAUGAAGAACACGAUGAUGGGGAAGUGGAACAAAAACGAGAAUAGAAGAAAAAAAAAGACGAAGAGAAAGGGGAGAGAAGAGCAAUUAGAAAAAAAAAAUAGAGAGGAAAUAUGGAAGGUGAUUAUGAUGGUAGAGAGGAAAAUAUGAAAGGUGACAAUGUUGGUAGAGAGGAAAAUAUGGAAGAGGAGAACGAAAGUGGCGUUGAAGAAAAUAUGGAUGAGGAGAGCGAAAGUGGUGAAGAAAAUAUAGAAGAUGAUAAUAGUUUUCCUCUUCUUGGUGGUCCCAUGGUGAAUGAUGUUUUGGUUGAUUAUAAAGAACAUUUUGCGUAUAGGGUGUGGCAAGGAGAGGUAUACAUGAUAAUAUUGAUUUAAUUAUUUUGUACAGAGGCCAAUAUUUGUAAAAUUUUAUUUUAGUGGUACCAGACAUCACUAACAUAUUAAUUCUAUAUCUUGACUUUUAUUCAAGAACUCGGUGUGCAGAGGCUUGUUUGCCACCUUACUCAGUUGAAAAAAUGGCCCUUAGAGAAAGAGGAUUCAAAGUUUAUAAACAAACUAAAGGAAACUGGAUUGUAUUGGGUAGAUAUUUUCCCUUAUAAACACAUGAAUCCGACGUUGGUGUGUGCAUUUGUCGAGCGUUAGUAUCCAGAAACAAACACUUUCCACCUUCCUUUUGGAGAGAUGGCAAUCACACUUGAUGAUGUGGAAGAACUACUUGGAAUUCCUAUUGUUGGUACCCCAAUAGUUAGUGAGCAAAACAAACUUGAUUUGAAUAGGUAAUGUACUUGACAAGAUCUACUGUGUUAUUAAGUAUAUUUUAUUUACCAUUAUUUGAUAUACAUAUAUAUAUAUCUUAGCAGGGCUAUAAAAUUGCUCACGAGAGGGCUUGGUGUCAACGAUAAGGAAGCUAAAUUAGAAUUGAGUAAGCACAGUCAAACAAAUGUAAGCACUACCUAGCUGUGUAGCAUCUUUCAUUAAAAAAUGAAAACCCUAACAAGUCACAGACACGUUGAUCAUGCAGUUAGAGCGUAUUUAAUGUUUCUCUUUCCAUGUGUCAUGUUCCCGACAAAACUGGUACUGAUGUAAAUGUUUGUUACAUUAUACCUCUUAUGACGUUUUCUAAGAUCAAUGAUUUUGCUUGGGGUGCGGCUGUUUUGGCCCAUAUUUAUAGAUCUCUUUGGAAAAGCUUCGCGAGCAGAGUGUAAACAAUUUUCUGUAUUUAUAACUUUAAUUCAGGUAAUACUUUUCAGUUGGUAAUGUUUACUAAAAUAAAUUAUAUCUACAAGUCUAACUCUCCUAAAUGUGUAUGCAUGGAUUUACGACCAUUUCUCCAACUUUAGUGUUAUUCCUAAUCUGGAUUACGCGGAUACAAUACCACACAUGAUGAGGUGGUCUCCUUUUCAAAUCAGCUAUACUGACAAUAUGCAAGCCUUGAGGUGGCAUAGAGAGACGAUUGAUCGUAUGACAACUAUGGAGGUAAGUGUUUACAAUUUUUUAUUUUUUAUUUUAUUUUUUUUAUUUUUUUGGCAAAUUUUAUUGAUAAGCUCAACGAAUUUCACAAAAGUAGAGGACAAACACGCUACAAAUUGCGCGGCAAGUACUUUCUGGAUAGCAAACCCGAUUCUCCUAAAUACAUAUUCGUUCGAACCCGCAGUCAUCACGUUGCUAUCCAUUACUUUCUGCACUCUCUUGAGGAGCUCAAUUACUUCUGAACCUAGCAAUCCAAAUGUGUCAAAUGCAAAGGAGAUGAAACUAUGUUGAUUAGCCCUACAAGCUCCGCCAUGUUUCUCCACUUUUGCUGCUGCUGCAUUGCUAGCUGCUAGCCCCACCUCAAAAAUCCCAGCACCCAGCCCAACCAUCGGAGACACCCUUGUAACAUAAACACACGCAUAUUUACCUUCAGACCAGUUGUAGACCAGAAUAUCAGCAGGACGUAAUAUCGAUCUUCCUUCCUUAGGAUCAGUAAGAAAGUUAACAGGAGCCUCUUUCUUAACCUGUACUCCAGCCCACCAGAACACAUCACACAAGAUAUCUCUAACGUGGUCAUGCCUGUGUGGUGAAAAACUUUGAUCCACAAACUCGAGAUGUGUAUAUAUUAAUCGAACAGUUACAAUGAAAGCCUUGUAGAGACAGAGAUAGGAUGGGGGGUAUACAGUGAGACUGGACUGAUCGGGAUCAGGCUGCCUACGUAUCCAAGAUGGUGAACUUGGAAUCAAUUUUAUGGUUCCACUAAGCUCUAAUGGAGUUGCUCAGUGAAAGACUCGUAGUUCAGGAGGUCUAGAACUCCUGUAUUUGUAGUAGGCCGGAGGAAGCUGGCUCAACCACCCCUCCGGUUUUGACUCCACGAACUCAGGUAGUUCAACUGUGAAGAUGUUUUCCAUGGAGAUAGCUUGCAUGCUGCCGAGCGGUUAUCCCCUUGGUUUGAAUCCCCUUCGACCAGGAUGACUGCCAUGUGGCAUCCUCUGAUAGGUCCUAGUUCACAUUGGUUUUUUUUAUCUUCUCCAGCGGGCUAGAACCAUGGGUUCUGUUGGCCUAGAAUCUCGCUGGACUUAUCCAGUUGGUUGGGACUUGGAUUGACCAAGCCUGAAAGCAAAUACUUGGGCUUCACUCCUCUGACCGGAGGCCCAAUCUCCACUACAUACUCCCUGGCUAGGUCCUCUGGACUUCUGUGCUAAGCCUUUGGAUGAGCCCCGGUCGCUGUUGGACCUUACUGGGCCAGACCUUGCCUACUUGACUGAGGUGGGCCUGGUCGAUGUAUAGGAUCCCACGGUUCAACUUCUUAUACAGUAAUCGGGGCUCCACCCAUUGGUCGUGGACUAUCCGGUGAGUCAAGGUCCACAGAACGUAUGUGGAUCCCUUGCAACCGGGUUGGGCCCUACCCGAUAGCCCAGGCUUGGCUGGCUAAUGUUCAGGUGCUCCCGGUUUAGCUUCUUAUACAGCCAUCGGUGACACCUGUCGGGUUUUUUAGCUAGGGUACACACAUCGCCCCCUCUUUGUUAAGUAAAAAAUCUGCUUGGGAAAGAUCUUCGCUAUAUCUUCCCCAGCUGUUGAUAUUCGGAGGAUUCCUUCCUUGACACGGUUCUUGAUGACGAUUCCGUAUCCCUUGGAUCAAGGAUUAGGGUUUUCUUCCUCCUCUAUAAAUAGGGAGCCGGAGGUGUAGAAGGAUGUCCACUUCUCUGUCAGUCACUAUUACUGAAGGAGUUAAAUCACCUAAUAAAAGUCGAAACCUUUUUAACGCCCAAGUGAAGUCAGCUUCUUUCUCUGGACACAUCAAAUCUUGACAAGCAGUGAAUGUCUUAUAGGUCGAAGUGACACCAACAAUUUGGAGAAAUGACCAACGAUACUUAUUGGUUUUGUAUGUCGCAUCCAUCAUGAAUACUUUAGGGAAACAUUUACACAAAUCAACUGAACCCGGAUGUGCCCAAAAUAACAACAAUAUCCUCAAGAUUUUUAGCAAUUUCCUCAAAGUUUUUAGUAGUUUCCUCAGAGAUUUCAACAUUUUCCUUAGACUUAUUAGAAUUUUCUUGAGAUUCAUCGGAACCACUGUGUCUACACCAAUCCAUCAAAUAUCUCUCCUUAGCCAACUUAAUUAUGUAAUAAGUUUUGCAUUUCAGUCAAGUCCCCCUUGUCGUUUGCCCUAACCUGUUGUCUUACAUUGUAAACUUGUUUAAGAAUAGAAGUAUUCAUAGGAAAACUUUCACUGAUAAACGCCAUGACUUGUUUUGCCUUCACCCCACACUUUGUCACCUUUAUAACAUGAUCCAUUUCUUCCUUUUUAAACCUUCCUGCGUAGGGAUGGCCUUCUAAAGUUGAAGUCAAUGGAUGGUUGUGAGAACCACAUACCACCUCUAACCUCCAAGAAUCAUGGCUUCCCAAUACAAAUUUUUCUUUUAAUUCAAAUGGACAUUGUAUUUUCUUAGUUCCAGACUAUCGAUGAAAUAGUUGUUGGUUGUCCGAUUUUUUCUUGUGAGAGCGAUACUUUCCACGACGGUCGCACAUUAGGAUCAACCAUGGUGAUUUAGUCCCACUCCUACCUUAGGAGCUCUUUGUGGUAAUAACAACUUUGUGAUUUUUUCCAGUAUUUUGGACCCAAGUAAUUAACUCACUCCGACUAUUAAAAACCUCUUCGGUGGUAAAAAACUUUGUCAAAUCAACGACCGUCUGAUUGUUACACCCAUUAUCAUCAUUGACGACAUCGGGGACAACAUGUUCACUUGAAGCAUUAGAAGCAUUUCUUACAUCUUCCUGCAAAUUAAAUAAUACUAUUUGAGAUAUUUGUUUGUUCUAAAAAUGAAAAAUGUAGCAAAAUUACACCUAUAUAACAUUUAGACCUCUUCAAAUUCAUUGGGAGUAACUUCAGAUUCGUCGAGAGUGUUUGAAUUGAGUUCAUUAAGUACCUCGUCCUGCAAUUGUUUAAAAAAAAUAAAAUAGAAAAAAUAGUAAAAUAAAAUUGUAUAUAUUAUUUUUCCAAUUUGAAAAAAAAAAACAAUCUUGAAAAAAAAAAAGAUGAGGAGUCAUCCAAACCUCUUGAGAUUGAUUGAGAGUCGUUGGAAAUUCAUUAUCAUCAACAAAAAUGGAUUCACUUGAAAUCCCAUCCUACAAUUUUAGUAUUUACAUAAAAAAUCAAAAAUUCAAAAAUUAACACUACGUGGAGUCGUCACCAACGUGGUGCUGACUGGUGCAUUUUAUCUUUUUAAGGUAAAUGGAAAAAAAACACACCCACACACAACUACUUCAGAUAAUAAUACAAAAAUAUAAUGACAUUCUAACCUCUUGAACUUCAUCUAGAUUUUUUGAAUUGAAAUUACUAGGAAAUUCUUCCUGCACUUACAAAUAAGUUAUCCAAAUGUAUAUUUACACCAAAAAAAAAAUAUCACAAAAAAAAAAUAAUAAUAAUAAUAUUGAACUUUAUCAAUAUGACCAUGGUGGUACUGCCCAUUGAGCGUAGUCGUCAGUGUAAGGUUGUUAUACCAUGGUGUCGUAUUGGGUAUCAUCGUACUAUUGUCUUAGGGUGGCACACCCCAAUUAAACAAGAUAUCUCUACUGCAUAAUCUCUGUGAAUGCAUCUCUAGAAGAAAAUUUUGUGCUAAAAUUAUUUAUUUGGUUGAGUUAAUACUACUACAGUACUAGUGCUCCACUGGUAGUCUGGUACCACAACCACCGUCAGACCCUCACCAACACCAAAUACUUCAGUAGUACAUGGUGUACUUGUGGGCAUUAGCUUCCUAGCUAAAAAAUAUAUAAAUAAUUUAAUUUUGAUAGCCAGCUCUUAAAGAUUUCAUCACCAAAGCAUGGUAGGUAUCAUAUUAUUACACACAAGAAUAUCUGUACAUGGACCAAUUAAAUGAUAAGCCAUCACCAUCUUAUACAGUUAAUGCGUGUUAUCGAAGAUUGUCGUUUCCAUAUGUCUAAAACUCAGGAAGAUUGGAUGUCAUGGUGUUUUGUAACCUAACCAAAUAUAUUUCAAAAGUUUAUAAACCAGACAAACAAGAUCAUUUCUGACUAUGAAAGCACCCUUAUUUCUACAAAAUCUUUAACCUAACUACCUAAAGCUCUUUUGCUUUGCUCAUAAUUUACACCUGAAUAUAAUGAAUGUCAGCAAUAUAAUAGAAUCUGUAUUUCAAACGAGAUUGUAAGUCCAUGAAACAGUUUUGCAAUAAAAAUAAUAAUAUUGAACUUUAUCAAUAUGGCACCAUGGUGGUAUUGCCCAUUGAGUGUAGUCGUCGGUGUAAAGUUGUUAUACCAUGGUGUUGUAUUGGGUAGCAUCGUAUUGUUGUCUUAGGGUGGCACACCCCAAUUAAACAAGUCAGCACCCAUAUGCUGACGAUUAAGUUUAGUAGUCAGCAUUGUCAUGAUGACCAUUGAGUACAAUGGGCAACACUCUACCGUUGGCUUAAAAGGGGGCACACCCCAAUUAAAUAUGUCAACACACAUACGCUGACCAUUAAGUGUAGUCGUCAGCAUUGUAGUGCUAGUGUAGUGAUCAGUAUCAUAGUGAUGUCUUAAAGGGGCACACCCAAUUAAACAUGUCAACGCCCAUAUACUGACCAUUUAGUGUAGUGGUCAGCAUUGUGACCCUUGAGCUAGUACUGUGAUUAGCAUCGUGGUGCUGACCUAAAAAUCGUCUCUUUUUUUCGUUUUAAUUGAAAAUAUCAUUAAAAUUACAGUUUACCUUUGAUGAUGGCGCAAGAUUUUUCCAUGAAUGUUUUUUUAUCAGAUCAGGCUAAUCUUCUUGUGGCACGUACAAAUCUAGUGGUCUCUUUAGUAUACCACUUUGUAAUUUUUCCCAGCUAAUUUCUUCGUUAUCAAGUCUAACAAAUAGAGCAGCAUCCGAAUUUCCUAAAACCUUAAUAAAUGCAUCAAAUGUUUUAUUUAAUUUCUCUUGCUUUUUAUCGAAUUCAUCAUCAUCACUACUUUCAUUAAUGAUAACUAUUAAUGAACAAAGUAAAAAAAAAAAUUAAAUGUUUAAUGGUUGUUGUAAAAGGAGACACUCAUUUUUAAAUGAAGAAAUUGAAGUAAAAUAAAUAUUAAUAAUGAUAAUAAGAGUUUAAUGGUGGGCACCCACCUAUUGGAAUGGGUGAUAAAACCAUACCAUACAGACCAGUACAGUAUAAUGUUUCUCACUUCUUGAUUUUCCCCCAAAUCACUUCUCCAGCCCUAGUUUUCCAAAGCGAGUGGCCGUUCUUCAACAUUACAGAUCUGGAGUAAGGGAUUUUGAGCUUUGAAUCGAUGGGUUAUUUGAAGCUGAAGUAAUAAAUGAUGGGAAUGGGUGGUAUCGGAAAUAAUUGGUUCAAUAAUUCAGAUUAUGUGAGGUCUGAUUUGAUGAUCUGGAAGAAGGUAUUUUCAGGUUUAUUUUCUUUUGUUUCCAAAUUCUACUUUUCUAUGGUUUUAAUUUUCUCUUUGAUCACUUAAUAUUUGGAAGAUUCAAAGCAUAUCUAAACCCAAUAUUAAAUUGAAGGGACUGAUAAUUUUUAUGUUUGAAAUGAAACCAAAAUCUUUUUUAGUAAGUUAGUAAUCACAGUUUCAGCCACUCCAUAAUUGUGAUUGUUGAUGACUUGGUUAAAAAUUUAUAUAUGCUCGAUCAAAAUAAUCAGGUGUGUACAAAAAUAUAUUCACCUACUCAUUUGAAUUGAGUCGCGUGGAAGUUAUGUAGUUUUGGAUUGUAUAUGCGGAAGUAUGAAGGAGUUGGUAUUUGCUUUUGGGGUUUUAAUUAGCUAGUGUGGCUAUGAAUUACUAAAUAGGUGGGCACAUAUAAUGUGAUGGUAGCAGCUUAUGUAAAUUUCUUUUUAUCUUCUUUUGAAACAAGGAAGAAACAGAUUUGUGAACAAACUGCAGAGCUUGAUAAAUGGAUGAGUGAUAUCCAAAAUAGGUACACUUCUCCCACACACCUUAAAAACCAUUCUCCUGAGUACAAUAUAUAUAGCCUCUUGUUAAAAUGUUUGUCAAUCUGACUGUAGAUUUUAUUUUGUGUUAUUAAUAGGUUGUAGGAUAGAUGGCAUUAUAUGUUGGUCUAUACUCCGUCGUCUUCCCCAAGGGCAUCCCUUUAUGUAGAGAAUGGGACUUUUAUGUCCUCGUUCUCGGCAUUUGUGCUUUUGAAGCAGUAAUCCUCCUUGGAUACACAGUCAAAGAGGUAGGGAAGAUACGUAACAGGCAAGUUGAGCUCAGAGGUCAAGAUCAGAGCUUGCACAAUUCAGCAGCGACAUUUGGAGAUAUGUGCAUAGAAAUGGACUCAGAGAAUAUUGUCGAAUCCGUCAGAGCAGGAAGGCCGGCUGACUUUCAAAGGAUGGACAUCUUCAACAGCAUCAUUUGGAAGCCGUUAAAAUUAAUAUCAUGUUCGUGGUGGUAUCUACUUUUAAUUGUGCUUCCCUUUUUAGGUUUUCUGGUAAUGGGUAUCGUGGGAUACUUGGUUGGAAUGCCAGACUCAUCAGGAGGUAGAUGAGGACAAGCUUCGUGUUUUGGUUGAAGAUAUUGUGUCACAGAUGGUCUCAGGAGAUGAUCGUGCUAGGUCCCCUUAAUUAAUUAGCUCCCCUUAGCAGUUGUCUUGCAUGCAGUUGUCUAAUAGGGAUUGGUUUACUACUGGUAUUUUUGUGGAAGCCUGUCAUGGCAGUUACUGAUAAUUUUAUGUGUUCUAAGCAACUCCACAUAUUAGCAGCAUGUCUUUUAUGAUUUGAUACAAAUUGACUUUUAUGAUUUGAUGCAAUUGUCUAAUAUUAGUAGUGCUUCUUUGACUGGUAUUUAUGUUGAAGUUGGACAUGGUAGUUCACUGAUAAUGUACAUUAUUGUGAAAUGUAUACUAUCAGUGCCAGCUAUUUAGUUAGUGUAGUUCUAACACUAGUACUUGCUCCUAGAUUGUGUAAUGUGUUUCUCAAAGUUGUCUUCAAAUUUUGCUACACUGCCAUGAUUAUCUGGUGCACAACGUACAGAAAAUUAAUCAUCUCCUCUGUCAACUUGCGCUACAAAAAACUGUAGGGGGGCAUACUCACAUUUGAUAUGAUAAAGGUAAUGUUUGUGCCCUAUUUGUUGCAAAUCUUUGGAAACCCUCCAUGUACAACAUGCUCAUUGCACCAUUUGCAAUGUAUUGCACCCAGGAGAUUAGAAUAAACUCCUCCGGGAAAAUCUCCACCCAUAUAUUUGCACUUCAACCCAAUCAUUGUGGCAUAUAACAUUGACCAACCACUACAUGUGACACUUCCAACUUUAAAACCAUGGAAAUGGUUCUGGGACCUCAUUAAGGUGGAGCAAAACACAAAUGGCCCAGCUAAGAAACUCAUUUUAAAAAAGGCCCUGAUUAAGUAUUGGUAGGGAUAAGAAAAUACCCAUUUAACAUAAAAAUUGUAAAAAGGGCCAUAACAAGAUUUUAAGUAUAACUUUAAUUCGAAUAUUACCUUUUUUUAUUUUCUAGAGAUUUCUUAGCACCACAAUUACGUUUCUUCUUUUCAAAUAAAUUAUGUUCUUAAUCUCUUCUUAAUUGGAACAAUUUUAAUUCAAAUUUUAGUGAACUAUCUGUUGUGUACAUUUGUUUAGCAAAAUAAAUUCAAACUAUUGCCCAGAUGUGGUGUCUAUAUGCAAACAAGUAUUUGCAUUUUUAUGGUUUAUCUGUUUGUGAUAGAUGCAAACAAAUCUUUGCAUUUUAUGUUUAUGUGUGUGAUUAAUGCAAAUACGUCUUUGCAUUUUAUGGUUUAUGUGGUUGUUGUUGCGAGUAUGCAAAUAAAUAUUUGCAUUUAUGUUUGUAUGUGUUUGUGACUUAUGCAAACAAGUCUUUGCAUUUUAUGUUUAUGUUAUGACUGAAAUAACAAUCCUCAAGUUAGGCCCAAUUAGUAGUUUAAAGUCAAGUUGAUCCGGCCUAAAACACAUCAUCUUCAUCCCAUGUUAUUUAUGUUCAGCAGCAGCCAUUACUUCACCCUCUCAAGCUUGAUUGCUACUUUAAUUUACAUAAUUGUGAUUUUGAAUUAAUCCAUGGGUUGGUGGAAUCCAUGGGUGAGAUGAUUGUAGUUUCUGAUGGUAGCCCUCUUAGAUUUAAAAAACAGCAAUAACAAUCAUUUUUCUUCUUUCAAAAUUUUAUUUUCAAUUAUUAACGGCUUUUCGUUAAAUUUUUUUUAUAAAUCUCUCUCUUCUUUUUCUUCUUCUUUUAUGAUUGAUUAUGUAUUUAAUUUCUUUUUUUUUUCUUUCAGUACUUUUUAUUUUGAGAGAAGAAAGGAGAAAAAGAGAUUACGAAGGAGAAGAGAGACGAUGCUAGGGGUAUAUUGGUCCAUAAGGCACGGAAAACACGUUGGGCUUUUUUUUACAAUUAAUUCCCUAACCGGGCCAAUUGUAUAUUUCCAAACCUUAAAUGGGUCCGUUUUUUUUUUUUUCCCUGCUUUAAACCUCAGGAUCAAAGUGUUCAGUUACAUUUCUCAAUCAUUAAAGUUGGAAGUCUUCUCUAAAGAAGGGGUAUUUAGGGUUUAGUCACCAUAGGUAUAUACUAUUUAAUAAAAAGACACUUAAGUUAUGUUAAUUAGGUUUUGGAUCACUUGAUAUAUUUGAACAGCUUAUUAAAUUUAAUUUGUCUAGUGUUUUUAUUUGGAAGAUUCAAAACAUAUCUAAAUAUUAAAUUAAAGGGACUAAUAUAAAACAAAGAAUAGGGCCAAAAGGCCAAAUUCCAACCCUGAGCCAAAUGAACAUUUUUAAAAGUGGUUGUCAAAAGCACAAAUUUAUAUAUCUUAUGUAAAGGACAUAAGAUUUUCUUAGGCCCAAGGACAUGCCCGUAAUAUCUGCCCGACAUAUGAUCCAACAAUAUUUUAUAAUGAUAUUUUUACCCUUACAUAGAUAUAGUAAAUAAAUCAUCAAAUUUGAAACGUUCGAUUUGUUUGAAACUCCAUUUUCUUUUAUCUCUCUGUUUCUACAUCUCUUGGAGAUUUUUUCCAUUUUUGUUUAUCAUCUCUCUAUUCGUUUGGAAAAUCAAAGAAGUUUGAUUUGCUAAAUUCUUUAAGUUUGAUUUUUCGAAUUGAAGAAUUUCAUUUGAAAUCUCUUUAGAAGUUUGAAUUCAUUUGGUUUUCGAUCUACAACACUAAUUAUUAAUGGAGAACAAUCUGUGGGUAUUAAAGAAAGCACAUAUAUGGGUUGUGAUAAUCUACUAAAUACAUUAUCAUGUGGGUAUUGAAGAAAUGGUUAUUAAUGGAGAACCAUCUAAUUUUCAAUUGUAAUUAUGAACAUGAGAACUAUUGUAAUUAUUAAUUGUGGUUGUCAUUUUCAAUUGUCGACAAGCUACGAAUUUUACAGUUUUCUUAUAGAGAAGAAAAUUGAGUCAACUCGGUUUCUUGAGUCAACUCGGUUAUUAUUAUAAUUGUGAUCACAUCAUGUUGCCACUGUAGUUAUCUUUGAAAAUUAAACAUGAUAACAUCAUGUUAUCAUUGAACAUGUAUGAUAACAUGAUGUUAUCAGUAGACUUAUCCUUGAUAACAUCAUGUUAUCACAAUAUACUAUUUCAGAAUUCUAGUAAAAGUUUACUAUGGAAAAUAUGUUUCAAGUAGUGACAAAGAAGAUGAAAAAGAAAGGAACCUAACCAAAAACCACAAGUAGAGGAUAAAGAUACUUACUUCUUUGUUGUUGAUUAUAUGUGAUCAGAGAGUAUGUAAUGUUAUCAGAUAUAUGAUAACGUGAUGUUAUCAGUUUCAGAUUUAUGAUAACAUAAUGUUAUGACUGAUGUUAUCAUUGAAAAUGUGUGAUAAUAUGAUGUUAUCACUACACUUGUCCUUGAUAACAUGAGCUCUAAAUAUAUGGUAACAUGAUGUUAUCACUGCAAUUAUGCUUAUAAACAUCAUUUUAUUAUCUUUAUUUAAGUUUUAGGGUUUUUGUUUAGUGUUAAUGGUCAAAUACAAAUCCUACUAGGGUUAACAACACCUAUACGUGAUAGUGUUUUAGAUGUAUCAUAUGUGUACGUAAAAUUAGUUCCACAAGUUUAGAUUUAAGUGUGUUUAAAAGUAAGUCGAUAACUUGUACAAAUCCUACUAGGGUUAACAACACCCAUACAUGGUAGUGUUUUAGAUGUAUCAUACGUGUAUGUAAAAUUAGUUCUACUAGGGUUAACAACACUCAUACGUGGUAGUGUUUUAAAUGUGCCAUACGUAUGCGUAAAAUACUGGAAAAAAAAAUGUGAUACCAAGAUAUGAAUGUAGAAUAAAUUUAACAUUCAUGAACUUAGCAAUAGCUAAAACAAUUUAUAACAAACAGUACAUGUUUGUACUUAUCAAAAUAUGUGAGUGUAACAUACAUGUACUUAACAAUAGCAAAGUAUGUCUUCUAUCCAUAAUUUAUAACAACCAUAGUUAUUAUCAAAACACUACUACUUUUCCAAAGUAAGUCUUCUAUCCACAAGAUUUUGAUAUUCUUCAGUCCAAUUCUUGGGGAGUCAUUCAGGAUCAAAACUGCACAUUGAACACGUGUUUUUUGUCCCAAUUUCUCAUCUACAUUAUCUGGUACAAAAUUCAUAAAGGUCAAAACUUCCAUGAUCAACCCAACAUAAAUAGCACAGUCACUAGUUUGACCUUGUCGUGGUGUUGUAGCUUCUUCAAAUGGAAGAUCCAAAUUUAAUGAUUCGUUUUGUAGCUCCAUCCUAAACCUUUUGUUGAUUAGGACUACAAGAUUGUUUUUCUAAUUUUGUUUUCUUAGAAAACAAAAUUAUAAACAAAAAUUAAUAUGUUAUCAACAUAAACUUAUAUUGGCCAUAGUGUUAACAUGAUGUUAUCAGAGAUACCAAAGCUGAUGACAUGAUGUUAUCAGGGAAACCUACACUGGCCAUAUUGAUAACAUGAUGUUAUCAGAGAUACCAAAACUGAUAACAUCAUGUUAUCAGGGAAACCUAUACUGGCCAUAGUGAUAAAAUGAUGUUAUCAGAGAUACCAAAACUGAUNNNNNNNNNNNNNNNNNNNNNNNNNNNNNNNNNNNNNNNNNNNNNNNNNNNNNNNNNNNNNNNNNNNNNNNNNNNNNNNNNNNNNNNNNNNNNNNNNNNNNNNNNNNNNNNNNNNNNNNNNNNNNNNNNNNNNNNNNNNNNNNNNNNNNNNNNNNNNNNNNNNNNNNNNNNNNNNNNNNNNNNNNNNNNNNNNNNNNNNNNNNNNNNNNNNNNNNNNNNNNNNNNNNNNNNNNNNNNNNNNNNNNNNNNNNNNNNNNNNNNNNNNNNNNNNNNNNNNNNNNNNNNNNNNNNNNNNNNNNNNNNNNNNNNNNNNNNNNNNNNNNNNNNNNNNNNNNNNNNNNNNNNNNNNNNNNNNNNNNNNNNNNNNNNNNNNNNNNNNNNNNNNNNNNNNNNNNNNNNNNNNNNNNNNNNNNCAGUACAAGCCCACUUAUAACAUGAUGUUAUCACUUUUAGUUUAAUUUCAAGUAAAAUAAAAGUAAAAAAUAGGUGAUAACAUUAUGUUAUCAAGGGACAAGCCCAUUAAUAAUAUGAUGUUGUCACCAUCAGUUUCACUUCAAAGUAAAAAAAAAAAAUAGGAUAACAUCAUAUUAUCACAGUACAAGCCCACUGAUAACAUCAUGUAAAAUUUUACUGCAGAUUGAACGGCCAUUCUAUCUGUUUUGGGAAACAAUCAAAAUUAUGAUCCACUAUACUAGGGGUGUAAAUUUUUGCCGAUUUUUCUGAUUUUUCGAUUUAAUCUAUUUUCAAAUUUGGAAUGGAUUAUUGUAGUUAUGAUUUUCGAAUUUUUGAUUUUCGAAUUUUUAGAAAAAAAUGGAACAGAAUUGGAACUACUCCCGUGAAUUUGAUUUUUCCGAUUUGUAAUCCGAUCCGAUUUUUCGAUAAAUAUUCCAAAAUUUUUGAUAAUUUAAAGAGAUAUAAAUUAUUCUCAUUUUUUAAAAUAUACGUACAUAUAGACAUAAAUACAAAGUUUAAAAUCACACGAGGACUCAAUAGAAAAUUAUAGUUAAUCUGAAAUCUUAAUUUAAUCAAAUAUCAAUGUAUGAUUCAACAAAAAAUAAUGUAAUAGUAAAUUAUUAGUUAGUUUAUACUUUCGAAUGAAGAUCAAUGUUUAUUGGUCAGAUUAUAAUUUCUUUCUUGUUCAUGCAAUUAUAUUAUUAUAUAAAGUUUACAGUAUAAUUGUGUUUUGUAAAAUGUAAUACUUCAGAACUUUGAUAUAUCAUUAGGGCAUGUUACACAAAAAUACCCUAAUGAGCAAAUAUAGUGUAUCAUCUAAGUAUAAAGAGUGUAGGAUUUUAAAGUAUUCAAAUCGGAUGACAUCUACCAUUUCGAUUUGGGGAAUUUCAAUUAAUUUCGAUAAAUUUUUAAGUUGGAAUUCCGAUUUUUUUAUCUUGAAAUUCUAAUUGACCCAAAUUUAUUUUUUUCAAAUUUUUUUCGAUAUUCCGAAUUUGGAAUAAAUUUUGUUGUCUGAAACAAAAUUAGAAUAAAAUUGGAAGAAUUUGUUUGAUUUUGAUUUUCGAUUUAUUUUUCCUGAACAUGCCAUUUUCGAUCGAUUCAGUCCGAUUUCAACCCCUAUACUCUGUAUUGUACUUUUUUACCAAAUUCAUCUUGAUUAAUUCUCCUUUGCCUCUUGAUUAAGCUUCUUUAAUCACAUUAUCCUGCAGUAUCAUUGUUGAUAGUCAAGCUCUACAUACCGAACCCACAACCACUGCAUCCCAGUAUCCAUGAGAUUGUGAUUGCCAUUAUUUUAAACGUGUACAAUCUUCUACCCACAGCCAAGGGCCUACAUUGUUACUGAAAUAUCACCGAAAACUUAUUUAAUAGAAGAGAUUUUUGGAUAUACCUAGGGCAUGAACGGAUCGGUUUUUGGAUAUACCUAGGGCAUGAACGGAUCGGAUACGGAGCGGAUAUGUAGUAAUUUUAGUAUAUCCGUUUUUGUAUUCGUAUUCAAGUCGAACUGAAUUUUUCGUACUAUAUCCGUAUUCAAUUAUACGGAUUCGAUAAUCCAAUUUUAAUUCGGAUCGAAUAUCCGAAUCUAUUUUCGGUUUGAUUUUCUGUAACUAAAAUCUAAAUAUGAGAAAUUAUAAUAAAAAGUUUUUGGAUAUAUCAAAAUUUUAUAAAUUAAAAAUUUAAAUUGUUAGAUUUUUUGUUUUUAUAUAUAAUUUGAUGACCAUAUUAGCCCUGUAAAAAUGGUAUAUUAUUUGUAUUAAAGUAUAAAUCUGGAUAUAUCCGGAUUUUAUCAAUAUCCUAUCCGUAUUCGAACCGGUCAAAAUAUUAUAACCGUAUCCGUAUCUAAAUUAAAAUCCGGAUAAUUUUUUUGAACCAUAUCCACUAUAUUCAGAUUUCAGUCGGUCGGAUAUUCAAAUAAAUCCAACCCGAUUUCCUGCUCUAGACAUACCCCCAUUUCAAGACAACCAUAGGUUAGUUUUAUAAUGGAUGGCUAAGAUAACACAACAUCCUAAAAUGGGGUAUCUCAAAUUUCGACUUUCAAAUAAGAUAUGUCCAAAAAUCUAUUAAUAUAAUUACAGAAAUAUAAUAAAAAAUAACAGAGGCUGAAAUAUUGAAUAGAUUGCUAAAAUUUGUAGUUCGUGUUUAAUAAAGAAUAGCGAAUAAGAUAAAAAUUAUAUAUAUGAAAGAUAUAAACACGAAAGCAACUAUGAUAUAAGUCACCUCUUAGAAAUUAACAUCUGUAAAGCAUAGCAGAUGACACCCAAUUCUCUGACUAGGCACUCGUAAGAGUGUCCCACCUAAUAAACCCCCUUUAUACUACCUUUCCAAAUUGGUUGUCCAACGGUUCAACCUCUAAUAUCCAUGUCCAGUUUGCAGGCAGCGCCUACAGUGUGUUUUUCCCAAGUUCCUUUACAUGAUCCUGGUAGCCUACUGAAACUCGGGCCUUCACAGAAUUGUCUUGAUACCCUCAUAAUCCCUUACCACCAUCUUUUGUUUUGGUUGACGUUACAUCCCUUCAAAAUAGAAUUAUCGUAUUAAUAACAUGAAAGCAUAUUUAUCACAGUGAUGAUAAAUGGAUAAUCAGAAAGAAUGUUAUAUGAACUCCCAAAGAUACCUUGUAAGCAAGUAUUUGUUAUUAAUUUGACGAUGUAAAUUAGAGACUCCAUCAUCACUGUUUUCUCUUUCCAUAUUCUACUUCUAACAGAUUCAGAAGGGUUCAACUAAUUGUAGAGAGCUUGAACAAUGAACAACCAUUCUAUUCAUGAUGACAAUCUACAAUCUUUUAAGACAAGUACUGAAAAUACUGUGAGCCAGGAUGGGGCUUUCUCUUUAUUACUUUGUACUCAAUCGGGUGCAUAUCAUUGUGCGUCCGGGUUAUAGUGCACUAGUUAGUAUAAAUAAAAAGUUAGUCUUCUUUUUAUAUGUACUUCACUUUAAGUAAUUCAGUAAACACUAAAUCAACAGUUUCCUUAUUUUGUUCUUCAUUACCUUUAAUUAAGUACUCUGUUAUAUGUUUCUUGGUCUAUUUAUUUUUUAUAAGGUGAGUUAUAAGGCGAGUUACCAAUGUGUUCUUCAAGUUUAUAAUGCGAGUUAACAAUAAACAGGCCAUUUAUAGAAUUUGAAAGUAGAUGGAUGUAACUCGAAAUUUGUACAAUUAUGUUAUGGAAACAAAAGUUUUUGUCAAUCAUAAGAUGAUUAGAAAAAACAUUAUUCAAAUUCAUAACUCUAAAAUCAUACCCUAGCUUAUAACGUUUACCAGUGAUGUGAAAAUUAUUAAUAAUAUUUGGAAAACUUCUUGAACCACAUUUGGUUGAAAAUAAGAUAGUAAGAAAAUCUUAUCCCAUUAGUCCUGAUGUCCCCAGUAGAAUUAUAGUAAGAAAAUCUUACCCCAGCAGAAUGUACAAAUAAUAGGUUUUCCACUAAAACCAAAAGAAAAUAAUAAUAAUAAUGUUUAUACCUUUGUUCCAUUAGUGCUUCCUAAAACACAUGGAUUUGCCGUAAUGACCAUUCUCCAAGAAAGCCCAAUUUCAAUCUGAGGAAUUAAUCAGAAUAGUUUAAUCUAGAAACUUUCCAGAAAUUUAUAAUAAAUAGCUAUAAUUAAACAUGUAACUUACCAAAAUUAAGAAUAACUGGUACCACAGUCUACAGAUGCUAAAAACAAGCAAGCGAUGGUUAUAAGAUGAGGAGAAGGACCGACUUAGGAGAACACCACCCUUUGGAUGUUUCAUUACCUUCUUUUCCGAUACCACCUCUUCCCAGUUCAAGAAAAUAAGUACAGUAAAGAAUCAACAAAUUCAUGAUUUUUUUUUUUUUUUUUUUUUUUUUUUUUUUCUAGAUCUAGAACUUUGUAUAUAAAAUUCUUAACCAUUGAGCGGCCAUUCUCUCUGUACCUGGAAAACUAGGUUUUAGUUGUGACUAUAUAUAUAUAUAUUUACUUUCAACCAAAAAUUACAAUCUGCCCCAAGAGGAUCUUUCAUUUGACAUUUGAUAUGAGAUUUGCUUUUGGUCUUGAUCUGAUCUGAAAAUAUGUCAAAGAUCAAACAUGGCUAUUUCAAUAUGGACAAGCAAGCUGCAAGCCCAUUGGUUGAAGAUGGGGUAACCAGUUUUGGAUUUGGGCAACAAGAAAUCUUUGGUAAAGAAUAUGGCCAUUUUGAUAAUACACCCCUUUUUUGUGUCACAUUUGGCUAAUACACCCUAUUAGUCCAGGAAUUAGUUGGUCCACUAGUUGGUCCACUGAUUCAAGACCUUGACUCUGUUAAUAUAGACAUUCAACUUCCUUUAACUCGGUCAAACCCCUUAAGUUACAUAAACACCCUUAUCUUUCAAAAUACCCUAGUUACCACUAUUUGAUUUAAAUCGUUAAUCUAACAUUUGUUGGUAGAUGUAAUCCAAGUCGUUGAUUAAAAGUGUAAAUAUACAAAAUUAUCCUUUACUUGUCAAAUGGACGAUACACCUAAGAGAUCGUUCUGCUUUUAAGUUGAUCAUAUGGAUGGUGAUAAUGGACUUUUUCCUUUAGCUAUUUAUAUUUGUGUGAGAGAGAACCUGGAUAAUUGGAAGGACAAGGAGUGCACCACAUCUAUCUGGUAGGAGGUUAACAAUCAUGUCUGACAGAUAGAAAGGUUUAGAUGCAGCUGUAAAUGAAGUUUUUCCUGGAUGUGAUCAAAGGUUUUGUAUGAGACACAUAGCUGCAAAUAUGACACAAUAUCAUAGGGUUGUUGAAAGGUAUACAUGGUGUAACACCCCGGGAUUUCGUCCUCACUCAUCCCGGUGCGUCGAGCUUCAUACCGCUAGCUAAUGUCAAUAUUUUCCCCCUUUAGUCACUGUGGAUAUCCAGCAGUAGAGGGUUUUGGAUCAGGGCCCACCCACUAGGUUUUCCCCAAAAAGCCUUAACAGUAGUUAGAGUAUGGUUAAGCUCUAUAUACUACCAAUACAACCACUUCUUUGGUAAUGUGAGACUAACACCAACUCAUGGGUGUUACACAAAAGGGUUAGUAGACAGAAAAAUGUAAAAUUUUAAAAUUUUUUAAUUACACCACAAAUGUAUCUGAUACACAAUUUACAAAAUAUUGUAACAAUAAGAAGUGAUUAUAUGAGUUUUAAAAGAAAAUUUCACCGAAAAAGUUGUAUUUUCGAAAACGCUUAAUAUUGGCAUUCGGCAAAAGGGGUGAGUACACAGAAAAAUGUAAAAAUUUGAAAUUUUUUAAUUACACCACAAAUGUAUCCGAUACACAAUUCAUAAAAUAUAGUAACAAUAAGAAGUGAUUAUAUGAGUUUUAAAAGAAAAUUUCACCAAAAAACUUGCAUUUCCGAAAACGCCCAAUAUUGACAUUCGACCAAAGGGGUUAGUACACAGAAAAAUGUAAAAUUUUAAAAUUCUUUAAUAACACAACAAAUGUAUCCGAUACACAAUUUACAAAAUAUAUUAACAAUAAGAAGUGAUUUAUAUGAGUUUAAAAGAAAUUUUCACCAAAAAAAUUGUAUUUCAGAAAAUGCCCAAUAUUGGCAUUCGGCCAAAGGGUUAGGACACAGAAAAAUAUAAAAUUUUGAAAUUUUUUAAUUACACCACAAAUGUAUCCGAUACACAAUUUAAAAAAUAUUGUAACAAUAAGAAGUGAUUAUAUAUGUUUUGAACAAAAAUUUCAUCAAAAAAGUUUCAUUUCGGAAAAUGCUCAAUAUUGGCAUUCGGCUAAUAACCACGUACAUAGAAAAUGUAAAAAAUUUAAUUUUUUUAACUAAACCACAAAUGAUUUCGAUAAACAAUUUAUAAAAUAUAUUAACAAUAAAAAGUGGUUAUAUGAGUUUUGAACAAAAUUGUUACCUAAAAAAAUGUAUUUCGAAAAAUACUCAAUAUUGGCAUUCGGCCAAAGGGGUUAGUACAAAAAAAAUAUAAAAUUUUUAAAAUUUUAAAUUACACCACAAAUAUAUCCGAUCCACAAUUUACAAAAUAUUGUAACAAUAAUAAGUGAUUAUAUGAGUUUUGAACAAAAAUUUCACCCAAAAAGAUGCAUUUCAAAAAAUGCUCAAUAUUAGCAUUCGGCCAAAGGGUUAGGACACAGAAAAAUGUAAAAUUUUAAAUUUUUUUAAUUACACCAUAAAUGUGUCCGAUACACACUUUACAAAAUAUUGUAAGAAUAAGAAGUGAUUAUAUGGGUUUUGAAGAAAAACUUCACCUUAAAAGAUGCAUUUCGGAAAAUGCUCAAUAUUAGCAUUCGACCAACGUACACAGAAAAAUGUAAAAUUGUUAAAUUUUUUUAAUUACACCACAAAUGUAUUCGAUACAUAAUUUAUAAAAGAUAUUAACAAUAAGAAGUUGUAUAUGAGUUUUGAACAAAAAUUUCACCUAAAAAUAUGAAUUUCGGAAAAUGCUCAAUAUUAGGAUUCGGCCAAAGGGUCGGGUUAGUACUCAGAAAAAUGUAAAAUUUUUAAAUUUUUUAAUUACACCACAAAUGUAUCAGAUACACAAUUUACUAAAUAUUGUAACAAUAAGAAGUGAUUAUUUGAGUUUUGAAGAAAAAAUUCACCAUAAAAGAUGCAUUUCGAAAAAUAUUUUAUUGACGUUCGGCCAAAGGGUUAGUACACAAAAAAAUAUAAAAUUUAAAUUUUUUUUAAUUACACCACAAAUGUAUCCGAUACACAAUUUACUAAAUAUUGUAACAAUAAGAAGUGAUUAUAUGAGUUUUGAAUAAAACAUUCACCUCAAAAGAUGCAUUUCGAAAAAUAUUCUAUAUUGGCAUUCGACCAAAGGGUUAGUACAUAGAAAAAUGUAAAAAUUUUAAAUUUUUUAAUUACACCACAAAUGUAUCCGACACACAAUUUAUAAUAUAUUGUAACAAUAAGAAGUGAUUAUAUGAGUUUUGAAGAAAAAAUUCACCUUAAAAGAUGCAUUUUGAAAAAUGUUUUAUUGUUCGGCCAAAGGGUUAGUACAAAGAAAAAUAUAAAAUUUAAAUUUUUUUUAAUUACACCACAAAUGUAUCCGAUACACAAUUUACAAAAUACUGUAACAAUAAGAAGUGAUUAUAUAAGUAGUGGUUAUAUGAGUUUUGAAGAAAAAUUUCACUUAAAAGAUAUAUUUUGAAAAAUGUUCAAUAUUGGCAUUCGACAAAAAGGUUAGGAGACAGAAAAAUGUAAAAUUGUGAAAUUUUUUAAUUACACCACAAAUGUAUCUGAUAUACAAUUUAUAAAAUAGAUUAACAAUAAGAAGUGGUUAUAUGAGUUUUGAACGAAAAUUUUACCUAAAAAUAUGCAUUUCAGAAAAUGCUCAAUAUUGGCAUUCAGCCAAAAGGUUAGGACACAGAAAAAUGUAAAAUUUUUAAAGUUUUAAAUUACACCACAAAUUUAUCCGAUACACAAUUUACAAAAUAUUGUAACAAUAAGAAGUGAUUAUAUGAGUUUUGAACAAAUAUUUUACCUGAAAAGAUGCAUUUCGAAAAAUACUCAGUAUUGGCAUUCAACCAAAGGGGUUAGUACACAGAAAAAUGUAAAAUAUUAAAUUUUUUUAAUUACACCACAAAUGUAUCCGUUACACAAUUUACAAACUAUUGUAACAAUAAGAAGUGAUUAUAUGUCUUUUGAACAAAAAAUUCACCUAAAAAGAUGCAUUUCGAAAAAUACUUAAUGUUAGUAUUCGGCCAAAGGGUACACAGAAAAAUGUAAAAUUGUCAAAUUUUUUAGUUACACCACAAAUGUAUCUGAAACACAAUUUAUAAAAUAUUGUAUCAAUAAGAAGUUAUUAUAUGAUUUUUGAACAAAAAAAUCACCUAAAAAAAUGCAUUUCGAAAAAUGCUCAAUAUAGGCAUUCGACCAAAGGGUAGUACACUGAAAAAUAUAAAAAAAUUAAUUUUUCAAUUACACCGCAAAUGUAUCCGAUACACAAUUUACAAAAUAUUGUAACAAUAAGUAUGAGUAUUGAAGAAAUAUUUCACCUUAAAAUAUGUAUUUUGAAAAAUGCCCAAUAUUGGCAUUCGGCCAAAGUGUUAGUACACAGAAAACUGUAAAAUUUUGUGGACACCUUGAACAUUUAUAAUAGCUUUGUGGACAUUAAAGCGGGAAAAUAUAUUUGUUCUAGGGAAUCAUGCAACUAUUUUUUUGUUAUUCUUUUUUGUAGGAAUGUCUUCUAUGCAUUCAGAUACAUAAUCAAUGGCUACUAGUAUGUAAAGAUAACAAUUAGAGUUAGGUAAUAGACACAAGAAAUUUAUACCCCAACAAUAAAAAAUGUCAACUGCCAAAAUAUAUUUUUAUUGCAUUUCUUUUCUUUUAGAAAUUCUACCUAAUUGUUGACCCCGUUGGCAAUUUUUACAAUAUAUAUUAGAAUCAUGAAAUAAAGUAGGCCAAUAAAAUCCACAUUGUAGUACCUUUGUGGUCGUUUUAUUUGCACUAAACUUUCCACCACAUGCAUGAUCAUGACAAAAAGACAAAGUUUCUAUUUGUUCCCAAUUUGGUAUACAUCUUUUAAUUAUUUGGUCGGGGCAAUAUUUAAAUAAGUAUGGUACAUCUUUUAAAUAUUUUUAUUUCAUUUUCACUCUAUUGUGUAAGUAUAUUCUCGGUUACAAGGUAAUUAACUAUAUCAACAUACCAUGGAGGUUUUAAGAUAGCAAACAAUUCUUCAUCUAGAAAAAUAUCACUAAUUUCCCCUUCUUACUUAUCUUCUAUAUUUAACCUAAAAAGGUGGUCGGCUACUACAUUUUCACAUCCGUUUUUAACUUUUAUCUCUAAAGAAAUUUUUUGUAAGAGUAAUACCCACCUAAUUAGUCUUAUUUUUUUUUCCCUUUUAGAAAGAAGAUGUUUAAGAGCGGCAUAGUCCGUGAAGAUAGUUUUUUAGGAACCUAUUAGGUACGACUAGAAUUUCUUUUUUUGUAGUUGUAUAAUUACGUUGAAGUGUUGAACAUCAUUCAAAGUCUUACUGGCAUAGUAUAUAACACUUGGUUUAUUCUCUUUACGUUAUCUUAAAACCGCACCAACGGCAUAGUCUGAGGCAUCACACAUUAACUCAAAGGGGAGAAACCAAUUUGGAGGUUGGAUUGUUGGAACGGACGUUAAGUUGGUUUUUAGUUGAUUAAAGGCCGACACACAUUCUUCAUUAAAUCAAAAGGUUGUAUCUUUAGUUAAUAAAUUUAUAAGUGGUCGAGCAAUUUUAGAAAAAUCUUUAAUAAGCCUUCUAUAAAAAUCGGCAUGGCUUAAAAAUGCUAUAAUGUCUCUUAUUUUUUAGGAAUAGGAAGGGAGGAUAUAAUUGAAAGUUUAGCUUCAUCUAUUUUUAUUCCUUUAGGAGUUAUAACAUGACCUAGAACUAUUCUUUUAGUUACUAUAAAAUGACAUUUUUUCCAAUUUUACACUAAGUUCUUUUCUCCACAUCUUAUUAAGAUUUUUUUUUUAGAUUUUCUAAACAUGUAUCGAAUGAUUCUCCAUAAAUGGAGAAAUCAUGUAUAAAUACUUCCAUAAAUAUUUCUACCAUGUCACUAAAUAUAUGUAGCAUACACCUUUGAAAGGUGGCGGGUGCAUUACAAAAUCCAAAGAACAUUCUCUUAUAAGCAUAUGUUCCCAAAGGGCAUGUAAAGGUUGUCUUUUCUUGGUCCUCGGGAGCUAUAGGAAUUUGAUUAUAACCAGAGUAACCAUCUAAGAAACAAUAAUAUGAAUGAUCGCCUAACCUGUCUAACAUUUGAUCUAUAAAGGGAAGAGAAAAAUGAUAUUUUCUAGUGACUUUAUUUAGACGCCUAUAGUCGAUAUACACUUUCCAUUUAGUAGGUGUUUAGCCUACUAGCGGACUUAUCCGCUAGUUAAAGUGUCAUACGAGUAGGCUUAAUUUCUUUUAAUCCGAGUUUUUGGUAUAAAUAAUAAGAGAGUAAGUUAACACUAACUGCUAAAUCUAAAACCGCGGUACCUUGAAAACCAUCACCCAGUGUAUAAUUAAUUGUAGGUUUACCGGGAUCUUUAUAUUUUACUACUCCAUUUUGUUCAACAAAGGAAGAGAUUUGCUCCUAAACAUUAGUUCUUCUUUUAAUAGUACGUACAAAGUUCUUUAUGAAACUUAGCAUGUUGAGGCAUAUUUCUAAGAAUGGUGAGAAAAGGUAUAUUAAUAGUAAGAUUUUUAAAAAUUUUCUUAAUCUCAUUAAAUGGUUCUUCACUUUGAGGACCUAAAAACCUAUGUUGAUAGGGUGCUUUAGGUAUAUAUUUCCGAACUUCUUCUUCUUUUCAUUAUUUUUAUUAUUAUUUUUACUUGAAGAAGCUACAUUUUUAUCCUUAGGAGAAGUAGAAUUUUUAUCCUUAGAUAUUUCUCUAGAAAUAGGUUUAUAAACAUUAACAGGUUGACUAUCUAAACUCGAAUCAUGAGAAAGGACAACAUUAGUUUUAGUUGAUUUAGAAUUAUUAGUUUGAAGUAAGUCAUUUUCGGGAGGCAUUAUUACUUUAUUAUCAUAUUCUUUUCCAGAGCGUAAAGUAGUUAUGACCAUAACUUCUUCUCUUUGAAUUACAUUAUCCUUGGUUUAGACUUCAAAAACUUUUUGGUUUUGUUUAGGAUUGACAAUAGGUUAGCCCAAGAAUUUUCCUUUUUCAAGUUCUGCAUCUACUUUAGCUUUUGUUCAAGUCUUUCAAUGAUUUUAUUUUGUUUAUCUUGUUGGUGUAAGUUUUUCAUUAAAAAAGCUUCAUAACUAGACUUAGGUUGCUCAUUAUUUUGUUGAUUUUGAACCAGAGGCGCAUUAUUAGCUUUUUGCAUUUGAUUUCCAUACUUUUGAAAAUAGUGUUUUGCCCCACAAACUUAUUAGGACCUUGAUUUCUAGCAUUUUGGUUACCAUAAUAUGGUUUAGUAUUUUGAUUGAAAGGUUUAGGUUCAUUAGGAUUACUCCAUCUAAAACUGGGAUCGUCACCAUAUCUAGGAUUAAAAUUAGGGCCAUGAUAAUUAUUAGAUCUAUUUUCCCAAAUAUCGUUAGCUUGUUCUUGUUCAUAAGGAACAAAAGGACAUGUGUUUUCAUUAUGAUCGGUUUCUGAACAAGUUUAACAUACUUCGUUAAUAUUCAUUACGAGAUUUGGUUGGUUAUUUUGAAUAGAGAGAGCAUCGACCUUUUUAACUAGAUUUUUAAUUAAGGUUUUAACUUCACCGUCUUCUUCUAAUCUAGCCGUGGGUUUAACUUCAUAGAUUUCGGGAAUAGGAUUAGGAUUAUUUCCCCAAUGUUGAAAAUUAUCAGCUAACUUAAUAAGGAAAUCAUUUUUUUUUUAUUCGCAACCGGGGUUGAGGGGAACUCUACCCCUUUAAAUUACGCAUGAAAACUUAUAUCAACAAUCAUCUGUUGAUGUGUUUCGAAGCCGCAACCUCUCCACUUUGUGAGAGGGGUGCUACCAUUGCGCCACAGGCUCAUUCGCAAAAAAAUAUUGUGGUAAGCCUAUUUUUAAUGAGAUCAGUAAUUCAGUAAUGCUAAUAAAAAAAAUCAUUGGCUUGGGUUGCGGUUGCACGUGUGGUGGGAUUAAAACCAUUGUAAAAACAUUGAACUAAAGUUUUCAUAGAGAACUGAUGAUGUGAGUAUUGUAAUUGUAAUUUUCCAAAUCUUUUCUAAGCUUCAAAAAAUUCUUCAUUAGUGGUUGAGAGAGAGAGAAAGAGAUUUCACUGUCUUUUUUUUAGAAGUUGGAGAGAAAUAGAGUUAGCAGUUGUGUUUGAGAAUUUGAGGGAGUAUAGUUUAGGAGAAAUACUACCAACUUUCCAAUUUCAAUAGAUUCAACUCAUAUCUUGAUUAAUAUGACAGUAUCUAAAAGUGGUUUAAUGUAUAUGGAAACCAGAUAUUUAUAAAAAAUUAUUCCCACCUAACCACGUAUAGAAAAAAUAAUUAUGAAAAAUUUCUGAAAUCUCAUGGUGCGUACUCCACCCCCCCCCCCCCCCCCCCCCAUUCAACUCAUCUCUUUCAUUCCCUACCAAAUUUGCAAACACUCAUAUUGAUUGGAAAGAAACUCUUGAAGCUCAUGUAUUCAAAGAAGAUCUUUCCAGAAAUAAGAAAGAAGAAGUGAAGGUUGAUAUUGAAGAAGGUAGAAUUUGAAUAAAAGAGAGAGAUUGAUGAUAAAAUAGAUCUGUCUUGAAUUCAUUGCUGGAAAAAUCUUACAUCAAAUUGCUUUAAUGCAUCAACUUAUAAGAAGAUUAGUUAUUUUGGAGAAUGAAAACUAGCAGAACCGCUAACAAUGGUGGUGGAGACGUGGAGAUGUUAAAAGAGAGAAACCUUAGUUGACUUUCUAUUUCAUCUCCUAAAAUUAAGUAAUUAAUAAUAAAAAUAAUUAAGUAAUUAAGUAAUCUAAAGUCACCUUUGCUCUCCGUACUUGCCCCCCUGACUAUGUUCAGGAAACAACCGAAUGGUUUGACCACAAGCUUCGUGCAGCCCUUCAAAAUAUUGUGGUUUCUGAUGGACCUGGUUUUGGCGAUCUACAGUGGCGUAUGGCAACCCUCCCAUUGCGUAUGGGUGGACUUGGUAUCUAUUGUGCUACUGAUGUUAUGAAGUUUGCUUUCGUAGCUUCACGUACGCAAACCAAGGAUCUCCAGGACCACAUUCUUCGAGGUUGUGACACUCCACCUAUGGGUAAUUUUUUCGAUACUGCCAUUGCUAGUUUACAUCUUUCUAUACCUGAUUUUGAUCUCAGUAAUCUUGCUCCAACUGCUACCGUCCCCUUCAGACCCCAACAUGUCUUGGCGGAAGCAUACUACAACAAGAUUAGUUCUGGUCUUGAGAGGGAAUUUAAGUUGUCAGCUAGACAAAAAGCCGUGAUUGGAUGUGUGCAGUCAGAACAUGCCAAAGAUUUUCUCCUUGCUAUCCCGAUGGAAGGGCUUGGACAACGCAUGACGCCUGUAGAAUAUCGUGCCAUUCUUCGUUAUUGAUUGAUGAUCCCUCUAUAUUCAGAUGGUGAGCUUUGUCCAGUGUGCAAGAAGAGUAGACUUGAUGCUUUCGGGGACCAUGCGGCCCAUUGUAAGCAUUACCCCGGCUUCAAGUACAGGCAUUACCACAUUAGAGAUAUCUUGUGUGAUGUGUUCUGGCGGGCUGGCGUACAGGUUAAGAAGGAGGCUCCUGUUAACUUUCUUACUGAUCCUAAGGAAGGAAGAUCGAUAUUACGUCCUGCUGAUAUUCUGGUCUAUAACUGGUCUGAAGGUAAACAUGCGUGUGUUGAUGUUAUAGGGGCGUCUCCGAUGGUUGGGCUGAGUGCUGGGAUUUUUGAGGUGGGGCUAGCAGCUAGCAAUGCAGCAGCGGCAAAAGUGGAGAAACAUGACGGAGCUUGUAGGGCUAACCAACAUAGUUUCAUCCCCUUUGCAUUUGACACAUUUGGAUUGCUAGGCUCAGAAGCAGUUGAGCUCCUUAGGAGAGUGCAAAAGAUAAUGGAUAGCAACGUGAUGACUGCAGGUUCGAACGAAUAUGUAUUUAGGAGAAUCGGGUUUGCUAUCCAGAAAGGACUUGCCGCGCAGUUUGUAGUGCGUUUGUCCUCUACUUUUGUGUAAUUCGUUGAGCUUAUCAAUAAAAUUUGGAUUUUCAUCAUUAAUAAAAAUAGAAUAAUUUUUCUUAUUAUUUUUACAAUAAAUUUUAAUAUUUUGGAUAAGAUGUUUAAUUGAAUUGGUUGCAAAUUAUUUGCAAACAUAUUGAUUUAAGUUAAUUAUGUGAUUUUCAGAAAAUACCCAUAAUUUUUGUGUUCACAAAUUAGUGUUUAUGAAGUUAUAAAAAAAUAAAAAUAAAUAAAUAAAUUAGUGUUUAUCUUAUUAAGUUAACUUUAAAUAUUUAAUUUAGAGUUAAAUUACUUUAAUAGGCAUACUAAUUAAGUAUUAUUUAAAAGUUCUAAAACAACCUUUCAAUUUCAAGAUUUAAUCAAAUUCUCUUCAAUUAGAGCAUCAAUUUUUCUCUAAUUUGGAGAGAGAAUAUUUUCUUAAGGGCAUGCCCAACUUUAAUAGAAAGUAUAGAUAUGUAAAUAAAUUUUCGGUUCGGUUCGGUUAAAUGAACUAAUUAGAAUGGAAAUUGGAACUGGACUGUUGUAUACUCUGUUCAGUCCGAUUUUGGUUCGGGUUUGUCCAUUUUUUUCCCGUUUUUUUUUCGGUUCUACGGUUUUUUACCCACCCCUAACUACAAUCUCAAAGCAAACUUUCUAGUUACCAAAUCAUGCAACCCCUAGAAGAAUUAACACCAAAUACGCUUUUGAAUGGGCAAUAUAUGACUGCGAGUAGUGUCGUAAUGGCAACAUCUUUGUUUGAUUAAACAUCCCAAAACAAGGAAACAUACCUAGUUUUAGCUUCAAAUUCAAGUUUAUGAAGCAAUGUCACCUAUGUAAUCAUUAUGAAAAUAUUGGGUCAUUUUCCAGAUGGAACAAAGAUUAUGGUGCCUCUUCCCAAAUGGGACCAAACAAACCGAAAAUAUCCAAAAUUAGAAUUGUUUACCCAAAAAGUGAGUUUAAAAAGUGAUAUUUUGCAUACCUAUUAUACUUUAUUGUCUGCUGAUGUGACCUUUUGAUAGUAAGUGAUUACCAAUUAAACACCAUUGAUUUUUUAGAUAACAUCUUGACCAUUAGAUUAAGCCAUUCUACAUAGAAUUUUAUAUAUUUUAGAUUAUACAAUAUGAUCCUCUCCAUGUUUACAUGGAACUUAAAUGUUGGGUAUGUAUACAUUGCAAGAUACAUUGUAACAUAUUAUCAAUACUGUUAUUGUUGACCUUAGAAAAGGUUAAAAACAAUAUAAAAAAAUAAUUGAUGAGGGGUAACAUUACAUGAUUUGUAAAUAUUGUUUCUACACUGUCAUCAUCAUUUUCUAUAAUGUCCUCUAAAUGCUCAAUGAAUAAGGUGAGAGAACAUUUCAUUAAGAAACUUUAAGGAAUGGAAAAGACCGCAUCCAAUUUUUUUGCUUUGGCCAAUUAUACUUGAAUCUCCAAGCUUCACAAUUUAAAAUAUAUGUUGAUUCCAAUCGUGUUUGGAGUGAUGAAACGGAUAGAUAGUUGAUUGGCGCAAGUAUAGAAUAGGGUGUAAAGUAAGAGCUUUACACCACUAGAUGAUGUUACUCUGAUUCUUGGGUUAAGGAUUGGUUAAUUGAAGUGAAUUUGGGUUGAGGAAGAAGAAAGAUGAUCCUAAUUCUUUUAGGACAAAAUACUUUGGUAAAAAAAAGAGUAUUAAUAAUAAAGACAUCAAGGAAGCAAUUAAGAAAGUAAAGGAUUUAAAAAAUGUUUAUAUGAUGUUAUUGAACAAACUCUAUCUGCUUCUAAUUUACUUGCUUCCUGAAAAAACAAAAAAUAUUGAUCUCAAGUAUGUGCAAAAAAAUUUGUUUUUUUCUUCAUAAUUUAUUCUCUAGAUUUACAAUUGUGUUUGCUCUAAUAUCCAUUAUUUCCUUUCGAUGAAAUUUAAUGUCCUCUGAGUGGUUUAAUUUAGUGUAAACUCUGAAUGUUGAAUAUAGUUUUAUCAUUUUCUCUGGAUGGACAGAUAUGUCGGCUCCAUUACACAUUAUGUCAUAUAUAUGUUACUAUAAUGUCUUCUCACUUUAUUGUUAUGUCCUUACCCUGACAAUAAUUAUCCUCUGGAUUUAUUAAUCCUAGGUAUGUUGUAUAUGAAUGUUUUGCGGGUUCAUUAGAAAAUAUCCACAAGCUAUGAUGCACGGACACCUCUCCCUAAAUCUUACGCACCGGUGUCCGACACCGACACGUUGGGACACGUGUUGGACACUUCAAAUUAAGUGUCCUACCUGAGAAAAUAAAAAUUUCUAAACUGGACACUUUCGAACACUGCAUUAGGACACUACUGACACCUUAGUUAAGGGAUCAUUUUGUAAUUUUAGUUUUUUUAUAAAUAAAGUAGGUCAGGGAUAGAAUAAAAAACAUAUUUGUGAAGAGAGAAACAAGUAAAAGACGAAACUUCUCUUACAAACCUCAAGGUCUCACCUACCCUCUCUUCAUCUUCUACUUUCUCUUUCUCUCUGUUACUCUUCAUCCUUCUCUGUUACUUUUCCUCUUCAUCUUCCUUCAUUUAUUCUCUCUAAGCUUGUUUUUCUUAGCUUCUUCAUCUUUCACAAGACUUUGUUGCUUCUCUAAUCUACAUAGAACAACCAUGGCUUCAGCUUCAACAAAUGGUGUGUGUAUUGCUAUUUUGUAAUCUUCAAAUUCAGUUGAUGAAUGCUAGAAAUUGACUUUGAUAAAAGACAAUCAACAUUGUUACUUGUCCCCUUUUAUUCUCUAUAAAAUGUGUUUUAUAUAUAUCUAUAUAACAAAUCAUAGUUUUCUCUAACACAAGGACCGUCGGAUUUAUGUCUAAGAUAACCGAGUACGUAGAUUUGUCUCAAGACAACUAAGGCCUUAGAUCAAUCUUUCUCUAGAUAUAGAAUCUUAUUUAAUAAAUAACCUCCAAUUUUAAUAAAUUAAUAAAUAUAAUUAAUAUUUAGAACUAACUACAUUAGUAACCCUCUUCUAAUAAUUACAUGAAAUACUCAUUUGUAACCCCUCUCUAAUAUAAUCAAUAUACACCAUUUGUAUUCCAAAAACAAUUUUCUAUUUUGAUUUAACCCAUAUUUUUAUUUAAUGACCCAUGUAAAAAUAAUUAAUGUAUGUAACCAUUAUAUUAACCAACCAAUAACUUUUGUAACUCACUAAUUCGUCAUAACCCCCAAUUUUAAUAAAUUAAUAAAUAUAAUUAAUGCUUAGAACUAACUACAUUAGUAACCCCCUUCAUUAAUUACAACAAAUACUCAUUUGUAACCCCUCUUUAAUAUAAUCAAUAUACACCAUUUGUAUUCCCAAAAACAAUUUUCUAUUUUGAUUUAACCUAUAUUUUUAUUUAAUUACCCAUAUUAAAAAAAUUAAUGUAACCAUUAUAUUAACCAACCAAUAACUUUUAUAACUCACUAUAAUUCAUCAUAUCACUCCAUAAUAUUUUUUUCAUUUUAAAUUAACUCAUGUUUUUAUUUAAUUACCAUGUGUAAGAACCAUCAAUAUAUAAUAUUUCAAAGCGGUCUCAUAAACACAACCGUUAGAUGUCUAUGGAGACAACUAUAACCAUCAGAUGUAAAUUAAAUUAUAUAAUCGAUGUAAUAAUAAUCUUUAGAUGUGGAAAAUCAAUCCUAACCUUUAGUUUUAUGUUGAGACAAUCGUAGCCAUAGGAUGAAGAGAAUCUUAUGUAAUAUUAAUUAUAAAAAUGAAUACAAAUAAUAAAUGUACAUAUUUAUUAAUAGAUUUGUAACCCUUAUUUACAAGAGUUGGUUAUAGUUGGUGUAACCCUUAUUUAUUAAUAGAUUUAUUUGUUACCCCUAUUUAAUUAUAAAUAGCCCUCUCAUUUUUUAUUUUUUUAAUGAGCCCUCCCCUAUCAUUCCCCUCACCAAAUAUACCUCUCCAAAUACAUGUUUUCUAAUAUAUCUUCCUUUCUCAUUCUAAUGAGUUUUUUUCCUGUUAUCUAAUAGGAUUAAUGGAAAUUUUUUUUUUUUUUUUUUUUUCAUAUUUGAUGGUUUUUUUUUUUUUUUUUUUUUUUUUAAAUUAUUGGAAGUAUUUGUUUCACACCAGUUGAUACUUUCUUAAUGAUUUUGAUGCUGACAAUUCUUUUUUCUCAUCUUUAUUUAACCUUUUUACUCAUAUUAAAUUUGUUGUAUGGCCUAUAGCAAAGGAACCAACUAUGCAAACAUACAACAAAUGAUUUGACAAAUUUUAUUUACUGUAUGUCUAUAGGUAUCUUGAGAGUCGAGGUAAUUUUUUUUUGAAGAGAUCGAUGUUAUAUAGUUGACCUUUUGGAAGUAACGCGUUAUCGCCCCCUACAUACAUAUCGUCAAGUAGAAAACUAUAGUGACUCAUUUGGUUAAACUAUUUAGAAGAAAUGUCUUACAUGCAUUUUUUUUUCUUUGCUCUAUGUAUACGUGUAUUGAGAUAUAAUAUGUAAUUCUUUUUAUGAUAGAUACAAUAUCAUGUUUGGUUUGUAAAAUCUUUUGUUCCUAGAAAACCUUCAUGUUAUCUAUGUGGCAUAUGCAACAAUAGUUGUUUUACUCCACUAACAGUUCUCAAAUCAUUUUAUAUAUGUUUGUUAAAUUAAUUUCAAAAUUACAAAUUCUACUAAACUCUAUGUAGAUUGUAGAGGGAUAAGAGGAACAAAAAUACUCUUAAAAAUAUUAUGUAUAUUACUAUACAUAUAUAAUGUUAUGACAAUUUUUUGUGCUUAAGAAAUUUAACCCUAGGAAUUAAAAUAAACCAAAAUUUGUUUGAUUUUUAGAAUAAAUCAAAAAUAUCAUUUGUAAUCCCAUUUCUUAUAUAACAAAAAAAAAAAAAAAAAAUUUACAACCCACUUCACUAAAAUAAUCGUGCCGUAGACACGGGUUAUCACUAGUAUAUAUAUAUAAUAUAACUAACGUGUCAGUGUCCUACUUUUUUAAAAAAUUACGUGUCGGCGUGUCUGUGUCGGUGUCCGUGCUUCAUAGUCCACAAGUAUAUCCAAAAGAAGAAAAAUGAUUACGCUCUACAUGGAUGUAUUUUUGGCUUUCAUGAUUUGGGCAUACCAACACAUUUUAACUCUGGGGCCUAGAAGAGAUGAUAUUGUUAAGUUCUCAAGAUUGUUGGAAUGAAGGGAUCUCCCCUUGAAAUAAAGAAAAGAAAAAACUAUUGAUAAAUUGUUGCGGAAUAAGAAGCACAAAAAACCAAAAAAAAAAAAAAAGAUUAUCUUUAUUAUCCAAGGAAACCCAGCGCGACAGAGAUUUAUAAUCAAAGCAACGACACUUGCAUAUAGUCUAGAGUUUAUUAAUUUAGAAAAUGAAGACACGUUUUUACUGUUGACAUGUUGCAUAUAAUCCAAUGGUAAAAAAAAAAUUGAAAUCAACCCAACGGUUGAGAACUCGCUACUGACAUUUUGUCAGUAAUGAAGAGAGAAAAGAUAAAAUAUUUGCUACAAAAUAAAAUAUGUUGGUGACAGGGUACAGAAUAGUAGAAUGGGUAUGAAAAUUCAGAAAAAUCAAUUUGGUGAACAAUGUUGUUCUUGGUCAUGGACUCAUGGGCCAGUAAAAGGAGGGCAACUUUGGUAAAUUGUAGCAUUAAGUUAUUUUGCCAAAUGGCAACUUCUGAUAAGUGAUGAUGUUUAGAUCUAAAGAAGAACAUUGAGCUAAAGUUAUAAAUACACAUUUAUAAACCCUAUCUAGAUCUAGCUCAACUUAAUAUAGAAGAGAGAGCGGCUAUUAAAUAAAGUUUGUGAAAGUAGUGAGUUCAGAUGAAUUCAGAAUGGGUGGUGUCGGAAAAUAUCAAGGGGAAUGGUGGCUCGGUUCGGUUUUUUUAGUAUUCAUAAGAAUGGAGAACCUUACACGCAGCUGGAUCAGAAAUUCGGCUGCUAUGUGAACAGCCCUAAUGUUUUCCUUGUUUUUACACUUGGACUCUGUUCGUUUCACAUAAUCAACUAAAUUGCAGAAAUUAGUAAAGAGACUGCUAAACCCUACUCGAUUCCGAGGAAAAUAAGGAAGAAACACGUUUAUAGUGGUGAGUAUAAACUAUUGGUAGGAGUAUUUGUUUUUAUUUAAUUGCUGAGAUCCUAUUCAUUUUAUUUAAUGUUUUCUCCUUUUUCACAUUUCUGAUUAUCCAACAACUCUUUGUAUAAAAUCAUUUUUUCCUUGUAGUUUUUGAGGGAAAAGUGUGAGCUUGGAUUGGAAGAUUAGAAUGGGUGGUAACGGAAAUUCUCAUGGACAAAUUAUUGAUGAAAAUAUUGUAAUGGUAAAGACUCGAAAUGAAAGAAAAAACGAUGUUCUCCAAUAUUGGGUGUAACUUAUCAAAUCAUGACAGUCCAAUAUCAAGGUUCUCCAAUAUUGAGUGAUGGAUAUUAUUGCUGAAUGUGUCCUCUUAGAUUUCCAUUUGUGAACAAUAAUUGUACGUUUGAUGUUGGAUCUGUAUCAAAAUUGUUUUUAAUAUCAGAGCAUGUCGAUCAGUGGUGAGGAGUUUAUUUUAGGUGAAACCAUUGAUCUCAACGAGCCAGGGAACUGCAAGUAGUUUGGUCACUUGGUGA